GGAUUUUGUUGGGCAGUGUGACGAGCUAUGUGUUGUCAAAUGUAUCAUGCCCUGUGACCAUUGUCAAGGAUCCAGACUUCAAACCUUGACAGACUUCCUGGAAAGAUAAAAUCAAGUGCCAAAAUUUUCAAGGUGUGAAGAUUCCUUGUGCUGGGAGAGAGGAGUCUAGUAAUGGACUUGAAAUAAUUUGAAAGUAGUUAAUUAACUUGCUCUUGUUGAAGCAAGUUGCACCUUCUAUAUACAAUACGUUUUGAACUGUGUGCGAAUUGUCAGAAUAAAUUGAGUGAUGUGUAGAUGAUGUGCAUCUUUUAGUUGUUUAGCAUAUCUCAUAAAUCUCUCAUCUUUUCUUUUUAAAUUACUUUCAGUUUGAACUACAUAUCUGAUCUGGAAUAAUUUGUGGUGUUGUAUACACGCAACUUGGAAGAAAGAGCCACAUAUCACCAUUGUUUUUUAUUACUGUGACAAAAUGCUAUGUAGCUGGCGCACUCGAUAUUUUUCCUGUCUAUUGUUUAGCAAUACUUUUGCGAUCACGAGACAUGGAGUGGAUAACUAAUUUUGUAUUUUUUCUAGUUUCAAAUUAUAUUUAAAGUCAUUUCUGAGUGUGUUUUGUGGUUUCUAUUAGGUGACUCUUUGAUUCAUAAGUUUCCUGUAGUCGGCGUUGGAUGAUCAAAAUUUUCAGAAGCCAGUUGAGCACGUUAAGUCUAAGCAAUUAAAGAUAAGUAAUGGAGUCAUGCCUCCAACAGAUGUAUAUCUUGUCUUCUGGUUUGGGACAAUACCUAACAAAAAAAAUCAAAAGAUUUGCAACAUUUCUUUUGCGUUGCAAAUCACAAGUUUGUGCAUCUGGUCAAUUGCAAGGAGUUAUCGAGGUUGCCCAACAUAGAAAGAUCUUAGGGGGUGCUUGGUUUGGCUACUGAUCCGAAUGGAGAUUAGAAUAGGAAUUGGAAUGCUACAUGCUUUGAUGUCUUUGGUUUACGAUGAGAAUCAAGAUUGGAGUGGAAGUGAAAUACUAUGGGAGAGUAGAAAUUUAAUUUAGGAAGAUUGAGAUAUUCUCUUUUUUUUUAAAAUUGAAAUGAAAAUAGGAUUUUUCUAACUAAAUAGUUGAAAUGAGAGUUACUCACUUAUAUUUUCAUUUUGGAGUCUAGCUUCUUGCAGAUUCAAAUCCCUAUUAGAUUUUAUGGGCUCCCAAUUUCAUUUUUCCCAUGGCAAGGAGGCGAAUAGGCACCAACUUGUAGCAAAUGAAAAUUGGCACUCAAACUUAGUGUUGCAGAUGGAUGAGGCCAAGUUCCCAAACAAUAAAUCAAGUCUCAGUGAUGUUGCUACUUUCUUGGUGGUCAGUGUUUUUUGAGAGAAGUUUGGCGUCGAUUCGCUUGGUGGCUCCCCUAUCCUUCCCGGUGCGUGCAGAUUCCUCGUGUGAUUGCUUUUGGCUGCCGAUCCGUUUGGUUCUCAACGGUUGGUCGAUCUCGACCUGGGAAUGACGCUGUCCGAUGUCAUUCUCAGCUCGAGUCUUGGUUUAUCUUAAUUCGGGUACGUUCAUAUUUUUCAUGGGUCGGUACGAUGGAGAACCGGUGACCAAAUAACCCACGUCGAUAUAACGUUUAGCCUGGCAGGAGGGAGAUGGCUCGAUUUAUUUCAAUUUUUGAACCCCAGAGGUAGAAAAAAUAUUUUGUCCCUAUUCCAAUCCAAAGACUGAAUCGUCUUCCCUGCGCUCUUCUACGAUCUCAAUCUUCUCUGGCACCGACAAACAGGGCACUCGUGUCUCUAUGCAAUGUCCAUUCUUGCGCGCAUUCAGUAAUACGUCUCUUUCUUGAAUUGAAGUUUGUGCAACUAUUUCCAUAAUUUCUGGAUGGCUGAUAUUUCAUUCGUUAUUUUAGAUUCAUGUUCUCCCUUCUCUUUUUGAUUAGUUUUUUUAAGGUGAGGUGGGGAUUCUUACAAGAUAAAUAUGAUUUCAAUAUAUAGUGCUUUUAAAUAUCCUUACAUCAGUGGUAGGAUACUUGAUGACUUUGGAGAAGUGUCUCGGUGCACCGAACACUCAUUGCAUUUUUCUUUGGCGCACAGACGACGCACCAUUACUCCCACAGGUUUGUUGCCGUCACUUCACCAUCAUUACUGGCAUUCUAUAUUUCCUUCUCGUUGAGCAAACUGUUGGGAAUUCCUCCUCUCAUUUGAAAUUGUAUGAUUUGCACGAAUAUUAGGGCCUGAUGAAAAUUUUUUUGGAGUAGUGUUUGUGACUCAGACUAUAAUGAAAAAUGGUCCCUUUUCUCUAAGUAUCAAAUUUGCUCUAUGUAACUUUGCACCCACUGAAAUUUUGCUCAUCCAAGAAGGUAGUUUCAUCCUUGAUGAGCAGGUAUUAAUUACUGCCAUGAAUAGUAGAUUUCCUGCCGUCCUCCAUAAGGAUACCUUUUCACUAUUAUUAGUUUUUUAUGCUUACAUAAUGAAAGCUGCAACCAUCGAAAGAAGCACCACCAUGUGCUGCAGUCAAUGGGCGGUCCAAUCCAAUUCUCCCAACUUUGGGUUCGUGGGGUCCAUAACGUUUCUUUCUAUGUCAGCUUCCAUAUCAAGUAGAUCACUUGGACGAUGGUUUGGUUAUGUCCGGUGCCCCCACUUUGUCAUGCUGUGCCUCAUCAAACUUAUGGUCCUGAUGGAGGAUGAAAUGGCCUGGUUGGCACUUUUCAUGUUCUUCUAUUUCACCUAUCAAGGUCAUACCACUUGGUCCCCAAGGGGAUCAAAUCAUCCGGGAUUUGGCGAUGUAGAGAGAAGAAAUAGAAGUUUAUUGCUGCCACGCGAUCUACUAUUGGUUCUAAGUUUUAAACCUGGUUGUUUAUCCUACUCUAAUAUAAGUGCAGCUAGUAGAAUCAAGAGCAAUAAUCUGGCAUACUUAUGAAGAAGGAAUUUCUGGUGUGUUCAAAAAAUCUUUUCAGAAUGCUCAAUAGCAUAGGAAGCUGAUAGAUGAAGGAGUCUCUUCACUUAUGUACCAUAAAAAUGAAGGUUUAGGAGAGGAGAAGAUUUAACUAAUGCCUGUCACAGAGAAAUCGACCGUCACGUCAAUCUUCUUUAAAAUAAAGGUAGUCUCCACAUGAUGAUGAGGUUUUGCAAGUCAACCCAACUAGGAGUUUAGGAGGGGUUACCAUGGUCAGUGAGAUUUCUUAUUUUCUUAAUCUUAGUUUUCAAAUGACAAAGAUAAAGAAAGUCUGGCAAGCUUGUGACCACCCUAACGUUCAAAAGCAGCAUUUUGAAUGUCGAAAAAAAAAAAAAAGGUCCGUUCUUUCAGGCUAGGUAACGGCUAGAAGAAGUUGGUGGGCCUGGUGAGGAACAACCCUUGGUCCUUCAAAUUUUGUUCCAACCAUUCCAGCCUUUUGUACUGCUAACCACUAUCGCAGCAGCGACGUACUACUAACCGGUCUCAAGGACUCCACUCUACUGGUGCUAAUCAGUCGGAGGUUGCAACCACUGGCAUCAUUAAAUCUAUGCUUUCUUGAGGGAGAUUGUACAUAGGGAAGACUGCAAAGGCCUAUUCAAAGCGAAGAUAAUUUAUUUGCUGAUUUGUGACAGCUCAACUGAUUUCUCGAUUUCUCCCCAACCAUAAGGCCCUAAUUGCUCAUUGUUCCUGCCUUUUCCAACCAUUAGAGUUGAUUACAACUAAUAUAUGUUUUAAGAAAUAUCUUAGAGACCCAUAAAAUAACUCCUGGAGAAACAGACCAUUUGCAUGGCUCUCUUUUUGUUGAACAGGAAUUAGCGUUGUCCAUUUUGGAAGCCUAGGAGGCUGAAUUAUUGCUCUGUUUGAAAACCCAAAACCGCCAGAUAGAACCAGUUCAGCUCUCAAAAGGUGGGUGUUCUGAGAUAGUACGGACGUGUGGCUUUGAAGUUGGAGCCCGGCAUCCAUUCUAAAGAGACUUUCAUCUGAAGUUUAACUGGGAGAGCACACCCUUAAAAAAAAUAUGAUAGGAGAUAAAUGGAGGAAUGCUUUAGUGUUUUCCUUUUUCACAUAUUUUGGAAAUGAUUAUAUUUAUUAGUGAUACCAUAUGAAGAAUUAUUCCAAUAAAUGUACCUCUCAUAUUCCAAUAGUUGCAGAUUUUGAAGAUGCCCCAUCGAGCCUAGAAUCAAUCGAACGACUAAAAAUUUUGUCAAGUGGCAAAAUGUGCAUAGAUAAAUAACCUUAAGCAAAUCAAGCAACAUGUCUUUCCAUUUCCUCAUUGAAAUGCCAACAUGUGAUUAAACGCAAACGUAUUGUGUUUUGAAAUUUUAAAAACAAACAGUUGGAGAAUAAUGUCUGCAUUAAUGGUGCUAGUCAAAAGUAGCCUCAUAGUAGAUUUUAUAACAAGAUGAUGCAGUUUCUCUACGCAAUAUCUAUCCUUGUUGUAAUUGUUUACAUUAUUCCAUCAUGAGAACAUAUUGUUGAUAAUUAGAGAUCGUUGCUCGCACCAUUGCUAAGAUGUGGGGACGGCAUGAGGACAGGGACUGCUGCUCAUCAACGUAGCGUGGAUUUGGGUGCCAUGGAAAGGUGGUGGGGUCGCACCUUUGACGCUUUUCUCACAAGCCAACGGCUCUACCAUGCAUGAUCUCACUCUAACGGGUGGGUACUCUUCCUACCAUCCUUCUUCAAAACUUUACCAUCCCUAUUUUAAUUUUGAAACUGGGCUUCGUCUCUUUCCCUCCCCUUCCUGAAAAGCAGGGAUAAAAAGGAGGAAGCCGUUAAAUAGAGAAAGAAAGAGAGGAGAGAUGGGAAGAGGGGAUAAAAAAAUGGAAAGACGCAUUCCAUUGCCGUGAACUUCCCUUGAUAGCCUCACCAUUUAAUAGCCGUUAGAGUAGAAUUUCAAAAAAACAAAGGACUAAGGAGAGCUUCACCGCCACUCCAUUUCCCCUGAAGAUAGUUCAAGUGUUAGAGCGGGCGAGCGAGCGAGCGAGCAAGCAAGCGCCUGCAAUCAUGGCCAUCCUCAACCUCCCUUAGAAAAAUAUAUGAGGAAGCCCCCACAAGCCCUUCUCCCUGCCCCCUUGUUUUCUCCUUCGGAAAUGAUCGCCUUAAUCUAAUGGAGAGACCCCGCUUUCACCAACCAGAGGACCCCAAGAAGCACUACUGUCUUUCGUUAGCCACCUGCGGAGCCUCCAACCUCAUCCCUCUUUCCCUUUUUCGGCUUCUGGCUCUCUACUAGAUUGCUCCGAUUAAGGGACGAGUGCGGCACCGGGUAGCUUCUCUCUAUUUGAGGGAACAGGUGGUGCUCAGAAUGGAUGAUGGAAAGGAGAAGGGUGGUGUUGGCGAUCAUGGUCAUGGGUCGGAAGAUAUUGGGGGAGAGGGCGAGUCCUUUAGCGACUCGGCGGAAGAUGAGUGCCAUGGGAGCAGUUCGAGCUCUGAGACUUCGUCCAGUGAAGAGUCACGAGGCCUUAGCAGUUCCGAGGAAUCAUCCAAGAAGCAUUCGGCAUCGUUGGGUUGGCCAAUGCAGAACCGCAAAACCUCUGAAAUAAUAGGCAAUGUGGAGAAAAGUCGUGAGGAAAAUAGUGGAAUGGAUAAGCUGAAGCCCAACAUUUCAGGUAUUGAAUCUUCUUUCAUGCAUGUUUUCCUUUCCCCCUUCAUUAUCUCUUUGUAACAAAUAGUAAUACCGAUCAAAUAGAUGAAUGGCACUAACUUAGAUUUUUUUUUUUUUUUUUAGAUCUUUUUCUUUGCCCUCACAUGGCUUUGUCAUCAUUUUUUUUAAAAAAGAAAUUUUGUUUUAUGUUUGGUUUCGGAUCCUCAAUCAACAGUUAGUAAAUCUCGUUUAUGUAUUAUUGUUGUCAUUUAUGUAUGUUUUAUGUAUUAUUGGUGUCAAUAUGGACUGCGCUAUCAUGGUAAAUGUGCAUGUCCUCAACCGUACUGGUUUAGCUGAAUGAAGAGUUAUGUUUUGGGGUUCUCUUCUGUAUUCCAGUAGAUAUCGAGAUGAUGAAGGAGAGGUUUGCCAAGUUGUUGCUUGGAGAAGACAUGUCAGGCUCUGGGAAAGGGGUCUGCACCGCAUUGGCCAUUUCGAAUGCUAUAACUAAUCUCUGUGGUAAGUUUUGAUAGUUCCCUGGUUUUUUUGGUUGCAUUCGUUUAUAACUAAAAUUUUGUUUGCUGAAAUAAAUUCUAUGAGCCUCAACUAAAACGUUCCUGUACCUUCUGUCCUAUUACAGCCACUCUCUUUGGGCAGCUUUGGAGGUUGGAGCCUUUACCUCCCGAGAAGAAGUCAAUGUGGCGAAGAGAAAUGGAGUGGCUUCUCUGUGUUAGCGAUCACAUAGUCGAACUGGUACCCACUUGGCAAACAUUUCCUGACGGAAGCAAGCUGGAGGUGAUUACUGUUCCCGAAGCUCUGUAGGGAUUAAAAUUGCCUUUGCAUCCAUGCAUUUGGCUAUCUGUUGCAUCUGUUACUUCACCACGCAUGAGUCUGUUUCUUAGGUGGGUUGGGUUGACUCUCACUGGAAUGCUCGCUCACUGUUCUCAAUUAUUCAUCAUGUCAAUCAAAUCUAACUGUUACAAAAAAAUUUCAUCUGUGUGCGUAUGUGCGUACAUGUAUACAUAUGUUUAUAUCGAAGUCAAUGCCUGGUUGGUUCCUUGGAGGUGUUCUCAGUUGUUUUGUUAUAACUCACUAGUCUUGAAUAGAUGCAUAAACGGUGCAUGGUUCUUGAUUUUUAUUUCAGGUCAUGACUUGCAGACAACGAUCUGACCUAUAUGCCAAUCUUCCAGCACUGCGCAAACUAGACAAUAUGCUUCUUGUGAGACUCGAUGCUGCUUCCUGAUUCUUAAUCUAAACUCGAGUGAGGGUCAUGAUUCUUAUCGAGAAUUUACGCUUCGCAGGAAAUAUUGGACAGCUUUAGUGAUACAGAGUUUUGGUAUGCCGAUCAAGGAGUGCUUGCAAACGAGUCUGAUGGGUCGGCCUCUUUCCGUGGAACUCUUCGUCGUCAAGAAGAGAAGUGGUGGCUGCCUGUGCCUCGUUUACCUCCUGGCGGUCUCCAUGAGAAGACGAGAAAGCAAUUGCAGCACAAACGUGAGUGCGCAAACCAAAUCUUGAAGGCUGCAAUGGCUAUCAACAGCAAUGCUUUGGUUGAAAUGGAGGUUCCUGAGUCGUAUCUCGAGUCCCUUCCAAAGGUAUAUGCUGCUUAUCUCUCGUACUUCUAAAGCAAGGCCUACUCUCAAUAAAUAAUGAUCAGAAUUGAGCUCCAUUGCCGCCGUCGAUUUACAGCAACAGCGAAUGGAUAUAUCUUUUCUACUUGUAUGAUCAUAGUAUUGUGGCAUAACGUCUCCCUUCAUUUUGAAUAUUUGUAUAGCUUUCUACAUGUCAUGAACCCUGAUGUUUGUUAUUCGUUUGUUCUUGGUCCGCAGAAUGGAAGAGCAUGCCUAGGCGAUGUGAUAUAUCGCUAUAUCACUUCGGAUCAAUUUUCCCCUGAAUGCCUUCUCGAUUGCCUUGAUUUAUCCUCCGAGCACCAAGCUCUAGAGAUUGCCAAUCACGUCGAGGCAUCAAUUUAUGUAUGGCGUCGGAGAACGUUUGCCAAAUCUACGAAUAAUACAAAUCGAACCAACACUAGAUCAUCAUGGGGUAUGGUCAAGGAUAUCAUUACGGAUGCUGAGAAAAGAGAGUUGCUCGCUGAUAGAGCCAAGUGCCUCUUGCUAUGUUUGAAGCAGAGGUUCCCUGGUCUGACACAAACAACCUUGGAUAUGAGCAAAAUCCAAUUCAACAAGGUUUGUCUUCCUCCCUUGCUUUGAACGCGGUUUAUGCUUGCAUGAAGACCUUUCGGAUUGUGAAUGGCUUUUGCGAUGAUCCAACUUUCAGGAUUUUGGAAAAUCCAUUCUGGAAAGCUAUUCCAGAGUCUUGGAGAGCCUCGCGUACAACAUUGUUGCUCGCAUUGAUGACCUGCUUUGUGCUGAUGACUUGACCAAACAUUCGGACCAGUAUUCGUCAUCGAUUCACGCAGUUGGUGUCGCUUCUCACAAGAAAGUCCCAGUUCCAUGCUUGGUGCCCGUCUCAGGCACUCCAUAUGCGACUGCUUAUGCCACACCAAGCUUCUUGCCCACACCUUCAAUGAGUCCAGUGCUGGGAGAGAGGUCUCCAUUGAUCAGCAGAAAGUCUCAUACUCGUGGAUAUGGCGUGAAGAAAGUUCUGACAAAUUAUCUCGGAGUUGAGGUGAAGGGAAAAGAGACUAGCAGCAGAGCUGAGGUAUCAGCACCGAUUUCAGGCGUCAGUCUAGAAGCCUGAGCGAGCUUCUCUUUCACAAAACAAUAGGGACUCGGAAAGCCGGCAGGACCUCGCUAUAUUAAUUAAUUAGGUCGUUGACUUGCCAUAAGAUUCGAGGUGAUCUUGUGAAAAAGAAGAUUAUGAUGAUGGUUCUCACGAGGGUUGCAAAAACAAAUGCUAUCCUGACAAUUUCGUAUUCCACUAAGCUAGCUCAGCAUCUGGUGUGCUGUUCUUGUAGUGAUUGAUGAGCAGUGUUAUUAUUUACACAUCACAAGGUUUUUGUAACAGUUUCCAAUAGUAUUUGCUUGAUUUUUUUUUUAUUAAUAGGAAUUGUAUCUUUUGCAGCUGUACGUGUGUCGCAUUUUAUAUAAAAUUUACGUUACGUUGGAAAUUGUCAGUGUCUUGGAUUUGUUUUACAGUGCUGGUGGUUCAAUUAUCUGAAGCUUUUUUUGGGGGCAUUCAGAUGCGAGAUAGCUUGAUGAUGAAAUUAAUAGACUUUUAUCUUAACGAGCCUACUUUCACUCUUUACUACCUUAAAGUUUCUUGCAUAAUACCUUAAGUCUAUACUUUGUUUUUUUACUGGCAACUGGUUCACUUAAAAAGAAGUCCAUAUAGAGGAUUUAUGGACAUGGAAAAGGAGUUCAAGAAGCAGAUAUAUAAUAUAUAUAUUUGCUGCCACACAGAUGGCAUGUCUACAAGAAGCAGAAGCUUAAAGAAGCUGAAAAGUGGAGGACAACAAUAAUUACAACAAUGGGAAUGGAGUAGGUGACCUCGCUCGAACCAUUCUGUUGAGAGAUAGUGCUGCAACAAAGGAAAAGGAGUUCAAGAAGCAGAUAUAUUAUAUAUAUAUUUGCUGCCACCCAGAUGGCAUGUCUACAAGAAGCAGAAGCUUAAAGGAGCUGAAAAGUGGAGGAUAACAAUAAUUACAGCAAUGGGAAUGGGGUACGUGACCCCGUAGUGCCGAGUCCAUUAAGGCUGUAUGGCUUAUGAGGUGGCAUGGCAGUCAUCUAUCACGACGAUUGAUGACUCCGGGAGUUCAUCAGUAUAUAUAUACCCAAGCAAACAGGCACGGUUUGUGCAAAGUAUUAGUGAGAGAUGGAGGCCUCAAGGAAGUAUCUCUGCCUUCUUGGAUUGUUUCUGCUUGCAGGGGCGGUAGGAUUGGAGGGUGUUGAUGGAGCUGGGGAAUGUGGGAGGGUUCCUGCGGAUAAGAUGGCUCUGAGGAUGGCUCCCUGUGCGUCGGCAUCGCAUGAUGCUCGCGCCCCGGUUUCAGCUCAAUGCUGCUUGGUGGUGCAGAAGCUGGGCAAGAACCCAAGAUGCCUCUGUGCUGUGAUGCUCUCAAACACUGCAAAGAGAGCUGGAGUCAAGCCGGCGAUAGCAAUGACGAUCCCCAAACGGUGCAGACUUGCACACCGCCCUGUGGGUUACAAAUGUGGAGGUAGGUUGAGUGUUCUCAUGAUGCUCCUUCUAUACUUUCUUUUUUCUUCUUUCCAUCAAAUUCUUUGUGGUUUUCCUGAAAGAAACCAACCUUUGCUUGCAGGUUAUACCUUGCCUUAAGCAUCGAGAAGUUGAGGAAAAACGGAUCACUGUGGAAGAAUAGUGGAAGUAUUUCUAGCUGCCAGUUUGUUGGAUAUGAUGUUUUGAGCUCAUCUUGGACUAUAUGAUGGUGGACUAGUUGUAAUAUGCUGCUGGUAGUGUGUGAACCAUGAAGCAUGUAUAUCCUAAUAAAUCUAAUAAAUAAAUAAGUUAUUGAUGUGUUGAAUGAAGCUGCAAAUUUUUAUGCAUGAUUUUGGCUGCACUUUUGGUGCAGUUUAGUAUGUCAAAUGCAGCCCGAUCACUUUCUGCCGGAGGAACGAAAAGGAAAGUAAUGCACUUUAACAAUUUGUUCCCUGAUACAAGUCCAACUCACAUCAAACUGAAACUCAAACCAUCAAAUAUUGCGAGCAGUCUGUCGAACAUUUCAAAGAGAGUAGGUCAUGAGGGAUAUACUUACCUGGAACCACAUUUCCUUUCACAGAAAAUGAAGACAAAUUUCCGAUUAAUGUUACUUUAUGUGCACACUUGUAAAUCGUUCCUGGUUUUGACCGCUUCGAGCCACCCAACAUUGCUAGGGUUCUCUUCACUUAGUUUCACCGAACGUACCACUAAUUUUCCCUCGAGUUUUGGUUUUGAUUUUUCUUUCCCCCAUAAAUGUAACCUUCGUUUGGAAAAAAAAAAUGGAACUAUGUGAAGGCUCUCUUGUUCCUUCCACAUUUGUCUUCUGAUUCAGGCUUGCAUGAGGGAGUAAUUGUUGGGUAGAUUAGCCACCACCGUCUCAUGGCCUUAAUUUAAUCUCAAGUUAUAUAAUAGAUUGCCUUCAGUGAAGUGGUCGGACAUCACUUUGGAACAUUUAGUAGGCAUUUGGCGCUAUGCAUAUGGCUUUUAAAAUUAAACGAAGAUUACGGGCAUCACCAUCCCUGUUUUUCUGAAGCAGGAUAUUAAGAAGACUAAGAUGGUGUCAUCUUCUUGCAUUACAAAAGUAACUUCAUCCCUUGCCGGCUACAGGACUGCGGCUGCGGCAUGUGGUUUUACAUAUCUAAAGGGACAAUUCAGGUUCGGGUCAAAACGAAUCAGGUCAAGAUUGGAUUGACCUAAUUCCGAUCCGAAAAAUAAAACAGGUUCAAAUUUAGGAUCCAGCUCAGCCCCGUGGGUCCUAAAAUUCGGAUCGGAUCAGAUCUAUAUGGGUCGGGUCGGGUCAUGGGUCAACCCGACCCAUUUGCAGUUACCAAGGAACCAAAUACUAUUAUUAGUUCUCUUUUCAAUUUGGAGGUGUGAUACAAUUUUCUGUAUUUUUAUUUAAUUACCUGGUGUAUGUUUGUUCAUGGUUUGGAAGCAUUGGAAGCACCAAUGAGGUCAAUGGGCAGUGGGGACAACUCCGCUCAAAACAAGAAAAAGAAAGGAAAAAAAAAUGUAAAACACGAUCUUGACCGUAAAACCUCGAAGGAAAUUUAACAAAGAGGUUGCUUAUGAUGGUUUCGAACCUAAAUCUGCCUAAAAGCCAGCACUAUGCACAUGCGGAUGAUUCCACAAGUCAAAUAGCAUACCCCGUAUUUAGUCUUGGGUCUUGUAACUAAGAUCGACUCCUUUUUCUUUCAUUUGAGAUCUCAUUCAUCUCCAAGUUUGUUUCCUCAUUCGGUCCCUCCCCUCCCCUCCCCUUCCCUUCCCUUUGUAGCUAGCGCUCAACCAUGGCAAAGGAUCAUCCCACCUUCUCCUCCAAUUUCUACCAGCUCUGCUGCUUCCUCUUCGUCUUUUCCGCACUAACGCCCAUGUCUUUCGUAUAUUGGUCUCGGUGCUUUGCUCCCUGUAAAACUGAAUCUGCCAUCGCGCUACCAAAGCAGAACCAAACUUUUGAUCUCCUUGCCUACCCUUCUGCAUGGAACCACCUCUCCUUCUCUCCCGGUCCGCCACCCAGGCUCCUCAAGAUAGCUCUCUUCGUGAAGCGAUGGCCGCGUCGGAGUCUUGCCGGAGGCCUGGAACGACACGCUCUCACCCUCCAUCUCGCCCUCGCCCGAAGAGGCCAUGAGAUCCAUGUCUUCACAACCUCAUCAAGCUCCGCCUUUCCAGACUACCCCGAUGCCAAGAUAAAAUUCCACGCGACCCCGCCAAGUCCCGCCGGUUACCUCAACCAGGCUCUGGCAUGGGAGCGAUUCCGCGUCCAGAAUACCACGGGGAAACCCUUCGACAUGAUCCAUACCGAAAGCGUCGGCCUCUUGCACGGCCGUGCCCGUAAUCUCAGCCAUCUUGCUGUUUCCUGGCAUGGUAUAGCCUACGAAACCAUACAUUCCGACAUCGUCCAAGAUCUCCUCCGUGGUCCGCAAGAGCCUCGUCCCUCCGUAUUUACAGAAAGAGUCGCCAAGGUGGUUGAUGAAGUCAAGUUCUUCCGCGACUAUGCCCACCAUGUAGCUACGAGCGAUCAUGUCGGAGAUGUCCUCAAGAGAAUAUAUAUGAUUCCAGAAGAACGAGUUCACAUAAUUGUAAAUGGUGUCGAUGAAGAUACCUACAAACCGGAUGCAGCAAGCGGUAGGGAGUUCCGGAGGAAGGUCGGGGUCCCCGACAGCGCGACUCUAGUAGUAGGACUGGCGGGGAGGUUGGUGAAGGAUAAAGGCCAUCCAUUGAUGUUUGAAGCACUGAAGCAGGUCUUCAUGGAGAAUGCGAGCUUCCAAAGAAACGUCUACGUCCUGGUUGCUGGAGACGGACCAUGGGGUAAUAGAUACAGGGAGCUUGGACCAAAUUUACUUGUUCUGGGUCCUUUGGAGCAGAAACAAUUGGCCAGCUUCUACAACUCGCUCGAUGUCUUCAUUAAUCCGACGCUCAGAGCGCAGGGGCUGGACCAUACCUUUAUCGAAGCGAUGCUUUCAGGUGUAUCCGUGAUGGGCACACGGUUUGCCAGCAUCACAGGCUCUCUGAUCGUGGGGCCAGAGAUCGGCUACACGUUUUUGCCGACGGUCGAUUCACUCAAGAAGUCCUUGAACAGAAUUCUGGGAGAUGGAAGAGGGGUGCUCGCGAAGAAAGGUGAGGUUGCGAGAAACAGAGCACUGCAGCUAUUUACUGCGGCAAAGAUGGCGGCAGCUUAUGAGAGGCUCUUCCUGUGCAUCUCUAAAGGCGCUGAAGUAAAAGAUAAUAAUGAUUACUGCAAAUACCCACUUCCACGGGACCGAUGGAGGUGAUAUUGCUCAAUCCAUUUGGAUGGGCGGUAGUUAGUGCUACAAUAAACAAACUGUAGUUGAUAUGGUGCUGCCUCCAUUAAGGUUAUAUGCGCUGUGAGAUGGCAGUCAUCUAGUGUUUUGGAUAAUGUCUUCUAGGAGCUCAUCUAGUUAUAAAUACCCCAUUGUCGAUCAUGUUUUUGUGCAUUGAAGAGCGAGAGAUGGAAGUUGCAAUGAAGUACCUCUGCAUUCUUGGAUUGCUUGUGGUUGCCAGUAUCGCUGGGUUGGAGAGGGCCAAUGGAGCUGGGGAAUGUGGGAAGGUUCCUGUGAACAGAAUGGCCUUUCGGAUGGCUCCGUGUGCAUCAGCAUCACAAGAUGCCGAGGCCCAGGUUUCGAGUACGUGCUGUGCAGAGGUGCAGAAGCUAGGCCAGAACCCAAGUUGCCUCUGUGCUGUUAUGCUGUCGGAUACUGCAAAGAGUGCCGGAGUCAAGCCUGAAGUAGCAAUCACAAUUCCCAAGCGGUGCAACCUGGCAGAUCGCCCUGUGGGAUACAAAUGUGGUGGUGAGUUUUGAGUACUGUAAUGUUUUAUUUUCUCUGCUUUUCUCCCAUCAGAUUCGUUUCACGUUCUCCUCAAAACGAUCUGUCUUACGUUUGCCUGCAGCGUAUACCGUGCCUUGAAGAACAGAGGGUUGAAGGAAGACUGGCGACCGCUACUAGUAGCUUCUGGAGUAAUGCCUAUGAUGCUGUAUCUCCUGUUGGCAUAAAUAUGAUGUUGAAAAUGCCAUAUGGUGUCAGACUUGGUGUAUGGACAUAGUAAAUAAAUGGUUGCUUGCUGUGUUGAGACUCGAGAGUAGUCUUGGCUCUUGUUCUGGUGAUGAAGUUGUUCAAUUUUAUCAUCGUGUUAUGAAAUAAAUGCAUCUAAGUUCUGUUUCAAGUGAUGAGUUUGGUGAUCACCUACCUGAUACGUAGUAGAUGAUUCGCAAGAAUUUAUUACGAUCAAUCCAAAUAUACUCUCACAUGUGUUCUAAACUUCCACAGGUCAAUGAUUCCUCGUGCUUUAUAAACCACAGCUUUGUUUAUAUUUUUCACUGCCUUCGGCUGAGUUUAAACAAUUUUAGUGCGUCGUAUUCUGCUUUAGAAACAUCUAAAUCUGAAGGCGUUCUAAAUCGACGAGGAGCGUCAAACUUAGCAGCUAUCUUGGGUUUCAAAUAAUAUGUUUGUGAUGCCUGUGGAUACAAAAAACAUCAAUUUUACAUCCUCCUCACCCUCUCAGGAUUGCUAUUUUUUUUUAGGUAAUGUCCUCAAGGUGGAAUCGUCCAGGAUAACUUCCCAGUAGAGUCUAAAAGUUGAAAGGGGAUCCUAGCAGCACAGUACAUUAAACAUGUUAAGACCACACAAAAGUAUAGAAAUAGGUCCACGGCACCACUCUAAUGCUAUUUCAUUGGGGAAAUCAAUGUCUGCCCCACGGAUUGAUUGCCAUUUUAUGUUUAAUCCUUGAAAGAAAAUUUUUAUGGCUGAUCCCUUGACUUCGAUGGCAAUGUUGUGUUUCAUCAUCCCUUGCUGGUAUGUUUGAACAAAACAAGCCUUUGUACAGAAACAAGAAAACUUCUAUGUACAAGUAUGAAACAUAAAAUACUGCAUAAAUAAGUAAAUUAAGCAGGCAGCCAUGAAAAAAAAAGACGUUUACGUAUCCCCUCCGUCCCCAAACUGCAUCUUCCUCUUCUCCUCUGAUUUUUUUUUUUCAAUAAAUUUCGUAGCCAUAAAAUGCAGCAGGCCGAGCUCAAGGUAGAAUCCACGAGAGACAUGUUUGACGUCCAUCCCACAAAGCAAGGACUUGCUACAGCUCUAGAUUGUCCUGCAAGGCUUCAUAUAUAGAUUAAAGAACAAAGGAUGCUUGCUGUAAUCUGAUGAUCCGGCAUGCUGAGGGUAAACAGGCACACAUAUUUCAUCUUCUUAAUUAAAUCAACAAAAACCUGACAUAAUCAUUAUAAGCAACGGAUUCAUAGACACAUUGAAUUAGACUAAUUUUCUUUGUAUAGGCCAUACAACACAAACUUAUAGAAUCUACUUAAUAUUAUAUAAUUAUAUAUUAAAAGCAUACAUAAUUAAGUGGCCAUUCAUCCUCGUUACAAUUGAAGCUGGAGGGAUGAAGGCCUAGUAUAGUUUACUGACAAGACAAAGUCCAAAACAAGAAAACCUAUCCAGGUUUCAGGUCUGCUGCUUCAUUAAGUAUGAACAGUCUUUGCAACUUUCCACCCUAAGAUAUAAACAGUGAAAAAAAAAACUGAUUGUUUGGUUCGUCAAAGCUGAUGCUUCUAGUAACAAAACCAAAUACAAGUUUCACUACUAGUUGGACGACAUAGCAGCCAUCUUUAACAGCUUCCUGAAAUACCUGUUAGCAAGGUAUGUGAUCUCUGAAAAUUAGAAAAGCUUACCAAAAAAAAAAGUUGGAAAAAAAAAGGAAAUGCACAGGAAAUGCAGUUGUCUAGGAAAAGAAAAAAAAACAGAAGAAAAAGAAGGCUACACGUAUUCAAGAAUUGGUUACAAUAAAUACAUGUAACUUACAGACACUCCACUAACUUAUACACCAGGGACACCACCAAGGACCUUUUUGUGCAAAAUUUAUAAUUUCACAUAAAUGUUGAUUAUAGGAGCUCAAUUAUCUAUUUUUCAGAUACUACUGUCGAAUUUAUGGAGCAAUAUGAUGGCCGAAAGAGAUUCUGUUCACUGUCUAGUGUAAAGUCCGCGUUCUGUACAUGAAUUGUAUGCCUAAAUGAUGGCUAAUUAUAUGCAACUUUUAAGGGGACGACAUCAUGAGAAAUUUCAUCUCCUAAAAAUCUUCAACAUAUGCCUUUUCUCUUGCUUUUAUGCUCGAAUCUACGCCUCUCAUGUUUGACGCUAACCACUAAAGCAUCUCCUCACUUAGCUUUAUUACCCCAUAGUAUGAUCGUGUUAGGCUGUUUGAUAAAUAGAGGUGCGCUGGCCGAACUUGCACUGUUGCGCACGACAACCUCCUUUCACAGGACCAUCUUUAUCACCUAUACCAUGUUAAACAUGACAAGAUAUUGAACUAAAAACAAGUGCUGUUCAUGAGAGAAUGAAAUUCUUUGGCGCGUUCGAAGCCACAUAAACUAUUAGAACAAGUUUGGGAUGUGGUAUGUUCAAUAGCAAUGAAAGCGCUCCAUAUUUUUUUCCCCGAGAAAAUAAAUACACCGUAUUGUGGGAUUUUACACUGUUUUGGGGGGAAAUGGUCAUCCAGCAGUUACAGUUAACAGCAAAUAUUUCUUUCUUAAGUUCAAGAAGUGAAAAUUGAUUAUCAACCACCUAGUACCAAACUAUAGAACAUAAUCUGGAGGAUUCAAUAGAAUAAUAGGGAUGACCAGCAAGAGUCAGAGAGCUGAGACCCAACCUGCUCAUACUAGUUAAAGCUUUAGCAUUGCAAGCAUAAGCAUGGAGUGAAUCUAUAAUGUGCUUACUAGCAGAUCGAUGUUGAUAAGAGUUACGGAUGUAUUAUUGGUCAUGUAUAAAUAAUCAAUCACUUGAAUAUUCACAUAGAGAGCAAGCAAGCACAAGAGAGAGAGGUAAUAUGGCUGCUGAAGCACUAGUUAUGGUAAUGAACAAAAAAAGAAGAAGAGAAGAAAAUGCCAUCCUGCUCCAACAAUACUGCCCAAAACAACAACAAUAGCAUAGCAACGAGUUCAUCAAAAGGAAAAUGCACUAAAAUGAACCUAUAAAGUAGUAAGAUAUCUGCAAUUUAAGUUAAUAGGUCUACAAUGACUAUUCUUAUUCUAAAUCUACAAAAUCUACAAAUAGUUGUUUGAAUGUGUCGCUUGAAUUAUUCAGAAUAUUUUCUUAUAAAAGACUUGCAAACCACACAUUAACAGCUAAUUUGUUAUUGCUUGAUACUUGAGGGGCAUGGGAAUCAAGUCGUGCUUGCCAGAAAACUAGCAAGUAUAGGUUACAAUUGAUUAUCUUAGAAUAUCUGAAUAUAGCAUUAACAAGGAAUGUAUGAAGGUAGAUGUUAUAGCCAUAUGCUCCAUCAAUCAUAAUCACCCCUUUAAAAGGUGGAGAUUUCCUGUUUCUAUUACCGUCCGCAAUUGGAGAAGAGACCAAGAGAAUUUUGAUGGAGAGAAGAGACAACAAUACUAGGUACUGGAGUUUAACAUGGACAGGAUCCAGUUGUGAUGGAUUCCAUAUAGAAGGAGGAGGCUUGUUGAUGAAUUGACGCUAAUCUUUAUGGUUCAAGAGAAAAUUGAAAGUGUUGAGAUGAGAAUCGAAGAAUUAGGGUGAGAUACAAGAUAAUGUGCAUUGAAAAUUCUGAACGAUUGUGUUAAGAAAAACAUGAAACAGAAGUAAUCUAGACAGAAAAAAGAAGUAAUCUAGAAGUAACAAAUCAUCUGAAACUGUAAAUUUAUAGAAAAUUACUAGUAGAAAGUUUAAUAGAAGUGAUGUAUUGAAAUAGACGAGUUGAGGUAACUGUCAUGAGAUGGCAACAUAGGGAAUACCAAGAGACCAGAAAUCACUAUUAAAUUGUUUAAGGAGGAGAUGAUAUUUGGGAUUAUAGAAAGAUCACAAAUUACAACCUAAGCGCAGUAAAUCAAAAUGGAAAUAGUAAAUAUAAAUGGCACAGCUAGGAAUCAUAUAUCUCUGUAUCAACAAUGUAGGAAAUCCAGUAAUAAUACAACCAUGAUGAAAAAGCUGACAAGCUCCAGAAUAUGGUGAAAUUUUCAAAAAGCUAGUUGUCAAUGGCUUCCUGUUAAAUGAGCCAAACAUGAUUUCAGAUGAAACAGAAGCAAAAGAAAAGUCGAAUUAGAACUGCUAAUCACCACCUCAAUCAUCUUUCACUGUGUCUCUCUUCAUAUAGCAUGCUAUGCCUGAUAUCAAGCUUGAAUUUUCAGUCAUAAAAUCACCAUCUUAGAACAAAUGAAACCCAAUUUGUAUUCUUCAAACUAUGGUAUUUAGGAAAAAGUAAGGGUUACAGCUCAUGGAUGAAAGUAGUUAGAAAUUAGAAUGUGUUGAAAGAUUACUGUAUCAAUGUCUAUACCUGUAGUAUAAGGAGAAAAAUCAAAUAUCUUCAUAACAGAAAAAAAGGCACAGCAGAUUAGUAAAUUUUUCAUGCAAAUACAAAUUAACAACACAUGAAGAAUUUUUAACGUCAGGAGACCAAAUCUAAUCAAGGUAAUGAGUCAUAAAUCAAAUCAUUUCCAUUUGGGUUGCUAUGAGCAUGCAGUAUCACACAACAAAUAAGAAUUACGGCAGUCUUGCAAUUGAAAAAAUUUAAGGAAGUAUCUUCAUCGAUAAAGCCUAAAGUUAUACAGAUCUGAAUGAUAUUAAUGAUGAUAAAAUCGCUGUUAGCAGAUUUAUGUCAAGAAAAACAAAAAUAUAUUAAAUGCUAAUUUUGCAAAAUUUAUCGAUUGUGAGGUUGCAUCAACAAACAAAGUAUAGAACACAAACUAAAGCAGUUAAAUCUGUCAACCAACCUUUGAGAAACAUACAAGCAAAAAAUGUUUGCAAUACAGCAAUGAUAACAUGUAAUAUCUUAUCAAAACCCUUUGGCCAACAAAUUAUUCAAGCUGGCAUGAUGUGUACAUGGCCAUAUUUAUAUAAUUACUUCAGAAGAAAAUAAGGAUGACAAGCUUUUAGAACUACAAUAAUAAUUGAAAGUGAUAUAUGCAUGAAAUUAAUACUGAACUCAGCUUCAAAGUACCCUCUUCCUACCUAAAUGGAGAGCAUGCUGGUCUAGAUAAUAUCCUCAAUAGUAAAGUGAACCUGGCAAAGUAAGAAAAAAAUGGAUAAGUUAGAGAACUGUUUGUCUCCUCAAUACAUGCUAUUUACCCAAAAUUUUUAGACUGGUAUUGUACCUUGCCACCAAUCACCUCUAGUAGCAACAUUUGAAUCACCCAAAUCAUCUUCACCAUUGUUUUUAUACUGCACGAGUUUAGAACACAAAGAAAUACAAAAUGAUGCAUGUUAUAGAAUUGGAUUUCAUAUUCCCAAAGUACCAAAAAAAUAUAAAAUUCAAUCACACAAUCAAGCAUAAAUACUUUUAAUUACAUCUCGUAAUUUGUUACCUUAUAAAUGUUAGUUUUCACUUACAUUAUUAUAAGCUCCAGAACUCUGCAUGGAUGGAGAGCUGCUAUAAAAUUCUCUGCCACCAUAAUGAAUAGAAGAGCCGAAAUAGGACGAUUCAGUUGAUUCAAUAGGAUAGGCUGAUUUCCCAUCUUUGUUGCUUGUGUUGUGGCUUUUGCUUGGGCGGCCUUGACAUUUAUCAUCUGCAGGUGUAACUUUAUAGCAGAGUUUGUCAUUAACAAUAGUCUAGAAAUAAUAUGUAAUACUGGAUCUAACAGAACCUAUAGUUGCAAUCAAAUCCACAAGAAACAGACCGACAUGUAUUGGUUAAGUAGAAUCGCAGAUGCUUUAUUAGUUAGUUCAGCAUUAUAUCAUUCUAUCACUUCUCCCAACAUCGAGCUUCAAGAAUAUAUUGAAGCACAAGAAAUGGAUAUGCCAUGGCCUAACAAAAAGAGAUUUUUGGUCCUUUACUCCACAAGCCCUAAUCUUGUGUUAUCAGAAUUCCACUUCACAAAUAAAUGAAUUCAGGCAUGCAUUACAAUCUUCAAGUAUGACUUUGGAACCCAUCAACAAGUGGUGGCCUCUCAUAGGUUAUUGGUAUUCAAGCAUCGAGGAAUGACAAUCUUUGAAGCAGGUGUCUUCUACAUGACAUAUAAGACAUGAAACAGAAAGAAACAAAGAGCGUUGAAUUUGAACAGUGACGUCAAGAAGAGAAUAUUCAAGAACCUGCUCUUGAGCUCUGAGCAUUCCCUAUCCGACCCUCAGUUCUUUGCUUGUCCAACGUCCAGUACAAGUCGGAAUGAGCCGAAUCCUUUCCCACGACCUAACAUCAUAAAACAGAGAACGAUCAGAGCCUGAAGCAUGAAGCCACCGUUACAAAGCCCCAAAAACACGAGCAGCAGCCUAUCGUACACUACCAAUCAAAGAUAGAAUACAUGCAAGAUCUAUAUGUGAGGCAUAGAAAGUGUCAGCUCGAAUUCAAUCCUAACUACAAAGUACAGAACCAUAUCAUUCCCAUGAAGAAUCACAAAACCCAACAAGCAGAUCCAACCUAACAAUCCGCAACUUUCAAAUGACAAAAUCAAAAAAUCCAUCAAGUAUAAACAGCAAACAACAUAAAUUUAUAAAACCCCAAACCGAAAAGAAAAAUGCACAACUAAGCCAUGCACACGACACGAAUAAGCCCCAAAACCUCGCAAACCUAAAAGCCGCAUCCCAGUAAUAACUUGAGUGGAAAUUCCGACAACACCAAUGAGGUAGAAGUCGUGCAACAAGAACAUAAAACCAAAACCUCGGGACGGAUCACGAUAACUUCUCUCGUUUGUUUCGAUCAGAAUCGAUCACGAUCAACACUAACAAAGCAGCAGAAGAAGUUACCGAUGAGGCAGGAGGGAAGACGCUGCUGAAGUAGCCAGAGGAUGCGGAUGAGGAGGAAGCAGAGGAAGCCGCGGCCUCCUUCCGGCCGAAAAGAUCAUCGGCAAUUCUCGAAGAAGAAGAAGAAGACGAAGCGGUGGGUUUCUUGCCCUCCAUCCUUUGCUUUCCUCUUGGUAUCCCAAGAAACAAAACUACCUCAACCCAGGGUAUUUCUCUAUCACCAAACCCAGAACCCAGCACUAAUUGCGACGCAGUGAGCGCCUGAAACCCGCGAAGGGAGAGGAUAAGAAGGAAAUAAGGGACCGGCGACCCUUCUCUUUGUUUCGUGUCGGCGCCUCCACGGCCCUUUUAAGAUCCCUCCUUUCCCAUACUGUUGCUUUUUCGUCUACUUUUUUACUCCUAUUUUCGUCCAAGAUUCAUCCCCAAAUCUCACUCCCAUAUUCGUCCGAUUUCUCGCUUUUCAUUUUUUUUCUAUAUCUUAUUGUGAUUUGUUAAUAUUUUUAAGAUACGUAACGUGGGUAGAUCUUUUCAUUUUUUUUUCUAGCUUGGUCGGUCCGAGGCCAACCCCAACCUCUUCAUCUCCAAGCCCACCACCGCCCAUGCUGAUGUCCAUCUCCGGGUCGUCUCGUCUCGUUUACGCAGUAGUCGAGUUUUAAUUACUCGCACGUUUGAUUUGAUAUGCAGUGGAUACCGGCCAGUCAAAAUGUAGAAAUUCGGUCGACGUAUCCAACUGGGAGUUUCUCGACUUCUGUAUCUACUUUAUCUACUUUUCCAAGGUAGUUCUCAGCAGGAACCGUUCUCCCCCGCAGAACUUAUCGGAUUACGGCUUGUUCAAACUUUGGUUAAUAUAGGUGAUGGGAGAAAUAUUUAAUAUCUUUACUUUGGAUUAGACCGAGAUUCUUAUUUUCCGUAUUAGUUAUGGUAAUACUACAAUCAAUGCGCGAUCGGCAUAAUUACCGCUGCGUGCUCAUGUAGGUUGGUUUCCAUAUUGUUAACGUACAACGAACCGUUACCUUGUAAUUAAAGUAUGCCACGCUAAAUCAAAUAACAGAUCAGUAUGCUACCAUAUAUAAAGGGAUGGCUUAGGGAUCCUUGGGUAAACUCAUUUUUAGAGACUACUUUCUAUGAAGUUUUUUCUUCUAUAUUAUUACUCUACUAUUCUAACUUAACUAUCAAAGGAUUUUCAACCAAAAAUUUUUUGGUAGGUGGAUUUCUUGCAGGUUGGCCUCGAAGGCGACCAAAUCUUCCUCACUUCAGUCUCAUCUGACUUCAUUCAGCUCGGUUCUUACCGACCUCAAGGCGAGCUGAGCACCGUCCCGACCUCGGUUCAGAAUUUCGUAGCUCUAGAUUGGUGCUAAAAAAAAGCGUAUUAUAGUACCGACACUAAAAAAGGGGAAAAAUCAUCAAUAUGAGAUCACGAAGAAAUCGCGGAGCAUCCAUGCCUUAUAGCACCGAGCUUUGUCCUCACAAGAUUCACUGUAGAGUUCGAAACAUGCCCGCCAAUACAAUCCACUGCACCUAUGAACGUUGAGUAAUUUAAUCUGUUCGUACAACAGGUGCAGGCCUUAAAUGGGGCAGUUCAGGGCUAACAACAAAUAACAACAUAUCUGGAACCAAUCCAACUAGAACCUGUUCAGCCUAACCGCCGCUCCCCAUAACCAACGCGCCAUACACGCCAAGUUAGCCACCAUUCUUGACAUCAAAGUACAGAGCGAUCUCACCAAAGUCGACAUACUUGACUAAGGAGUUCUCGUCGGGAUGGAGAGUGACGUAUUCUAAGCCCCUAUUCCGACAAAAAUUCUACUUCAAGUCUCUAAUCUCCUCGUCAUAUGGAGCCCCUACCUCAGUGAGAAGCCGACCUCGAUAAAAAAAAAUUGAGGAGAUGAGCUGUCAAAUUCAGGCCCUUAAGGGGCAGACUUUAAGGUUAAAUAAUGAACUCAAAUUCUCUAAGAAACCUCUCUUUCUUAGAAGAUCGUGGAGCAAUCGAUCCCACCUUAGUUCAAAAUACCUCAGGUAGAGCCAUAUGAUGGCACCUCGGAUCGUUUGGAUCAUUUAGAGAGCUUCAGAACUCUCAUGAUGUUGUAUGGUGCUACUGAUACCGUGCUUUGCAAAUCUUUUUCUGCUACUCUUCGCAUAGCGGCUCGAUUUUGGUUUUCAAGGCUUCAGCUCGGAUUGAUUCAUUCUUUCGAGCAGCUCGGACAUCUUUUUACUAUGCACUUUAUCUCCAGUCGAAGUUAGUGUCAUGGUUCUGAUGCGUUGCUCAAUGUCAAGCAGAGGAAAAGAGGGUCCCUCAAAGAUUACGUCAAUUAUUUUAAUACGGUGACAUUGGAAGUCUGCGAUCUAGAUCAAUCGGUCGCGAUAUCAGCAAUGAUAGGCGAUUUAACACCGUCUCAUUUCCUCUUUUCUUUGGAAAAGUACUUUUCUGUAGACUUUGCCGAGAUAUUGGCACGUGCUGAAAAGUAUGCUAAUGUAGAGAAAGCCAUGGCCUCACAUUGUGAGUCGGCUAGUGGAAGACCCAACUGAGGAUGCAAAAGGAGACAUGAAGAUCGGGGUGCGUUGAGAAGUAUUUCACCCAUGACGAAAAGAGUCCACGCCGGCCCAAUCGUCCUCCUUGAAAGUUUGAGAGAUAUACUCCUCUCACUACACUAAGGACUCAGAUCCUCAUGGAGAUUGAAGGCUGAGGCUACCUACGGCCUCCGUAUCGAAUGAAGGCAUCGAUGAAUAAAAGAGAUAAGAAGUAUUGAUGUUUUCAUUGAGAUCACGGAUAUGAUACCGAGGAGUGUAUCCAACUCAAGGACGAAAUUGAAGCACUCAUCCGAUGUGGAUGGUUGGAUCGAUACGUGCAUACUCGGUGUGGUCGAAAAAAGUUUGCCUCGGAUCAGCCACCUUCAGAGCUGAUCGACAACCAUCCGACAGUAGGAGUUAUCAACACGAUUGCUGACGGUACUCUCGCGGUUGUCAGAAGGCUGAAGCUACUCCGAAGAGACAGCACACGAGAGAUGUUAUUUCUUUCUUUGACGCCGACCUGGGAGGAGUAUAGACUCCUCAUAAUGAUGCAGUUGUUAUUUCUCUUACAACCAAAAAAUAUGAUGUAAAGAGAAUUCUAGUUGGUAAUGGAAGUUCGACUGACGUGUUAUUUUAUGAUGUAUUCCAACGAAUGAAAGCAUCUACCGAGCGGUUGUGUAAAGUCAAUACACCUCUAGUCGGUUUCUUAGGCGAUUCUGUCUCCGUGGAAGGGGUGAUUAAUUUACUGGUUACCAUGGGACAAGUGCCUAGCAACAACAGUGCGAGGUUAAAUUUCUUGGUAGUUUGAAUCCCCUCAGCUUACAAUGCAAUCUUGGGCCGAUCUGGUCUCAAUGCUUUCCGAGUUGUGGUAUCUAUCUACCAUUUGCUCGUGUGAUUCCCUACAAGAAAUAGCAUAGGAGAAAUCCGAGGUGACUCAAUAUUAGCCUCGAAUACGGCCAUAUCUUUCUCUCAUCGGUCUCAUCCGACCUUAUUUAGCUCGGUUCUCACCAACCUCAAGGCGAGCCAAGCAUCAUCCCAGCCUUGGUUCAGAAUUUUGGGGCAACAAUAGAAAUAGAUAAAUAAAAUGAAAGUGUGCAAGACAAGAAUCAUAUGGCUUCCAAAAGGAGAGCUUGAGGAGCAAUAACGACCCAAGUGACCUCAUUCAAAAGAGGUCAAUUGCCGACCGCACCUACUAGGAUCGCCGCGUGCCAACCGAUGCGAGACACUACUCAUAAUAUGGUACUUGGCACUCAAGUGUUGGGUGAUGUUAAGAUCCAUAUGUAUCUCAAUGCCAAUUGGAUUGGUGUCUGUCAUUCGAGGAGCAAAUCCCAAUCCCUUCUCAAGGCAGAGUGGAUAUGUUGCACGUUUAUUUUUAUGGGCCCAUGUAGUUUGAAUUCGUCAUUCCUAAAAUCUUUCUCAACAUUUCAGUGCAUCGACCGGACGACUGGCAUAUAUUUCGUGGAAUCAAUAACCAACCAAAUCUCAAGAUAAUCAAUAUGAUCGAUUAUAGCUCGGUACAAUUUUAAUAUGCUCGAAAAGAAAUAUCGUAGCCGACCAUAUCAGCGAAUAAGAAAAGUGUCCAAUCUUUGAGCACCUGAAAAGAAAUAUUUUAACUACUCCAAUCAGCGGAUAAAAAAAAGCUCAAUUGUCAGUCCGCAAAUCACGCGAUCCUUACUGCAUAGAUCAAUAUCCUCUUCUAUAUAAACACCAGGCACGGGGAUCUCCCAAGUAUAAAAAUAUUUGGAUGUCAUUCUCUCAUUCUCCAAUCUCUCAUGUUUACUUUUGAAACGUUGCCUGAGUUAAGCAUUGGAGGGUUUCCGGCCAAACAAGUUUCGAUUACCUCCGGAUCAUUUUCUUUGGUUGCAAAUUAUAUCCGACAUGCUUCUCUAGCCCCAUCGAGUAGAGCAAUAUCGCCCAUCAGCUCAUCCACGUAUCAGAUCAGAUUUUGAGCGGCGAUAUGUACCAUUGGAAUUGUGCGGUUAUGAAGGCGUCGGGAUUUUGUGUCUACGAGUAACAGGGUUGGCUACUUCAUUUUUCUAUGGCAGUGAGGUUGUUAUCACAGGGCACUUCUUUUUAACCACAAUUUGUUGUGCUAGAAUGUCAUCCAUGAAUCCUUGCCGCUAGUUCAUGAACCCUGAAGUUGGUACCUUUUGCGGUGUAGCAUGGACAAUGAAAAAUGGGAAUUGAUUGAUGUCAUGUGAACUACAAAAAUUCUGGUAAUGAAUUUGGCAAUGACAACCUCGACCUCGCAUUGCUUUCAAAGAAGAGUAAAUAGGUCUUUACCAAAAGCGAAUAGCUUGAAAUUAAAGAAACGCAAUCUCAUCCCUUUUGAUGUCAGGAGAUACAAAUGAUCUCGAAUGGUUGCUGUUUUGCGUGGAAUCGAAGAGAAGUAAAGUUGGAUGAGACUGAAAUGAGUAAAAAUUGAUCGCUUUGCCGAGGCCAAUCUGCAAGAAGUCUACUUGCCAAAAAGUUCUUGGCGGAGGGCUCUUUGAUGUUUAAGAUAGAAUACUAGAGUAACAGUGUGGAAGAAAAAAAAAAUUUGUAUAGAAAGGAGUCUCAAAAUGACUUUACCUAAAGAUCUCCACCCUGCCUCUUUAUAUAAGGUAGAAUACAAAUUUGUUAUUUGAUUUGACGUGGCGUGCUUUAAUUGUAUGGUAAUGAUCGGUUGCACAUUAACGAUGUGGUAACCGUCCCGCGGGAGCAGCAUACGACGACAAUCACAUCGAUCAUGUAUUAGCUACAGUGUCGUCAUAACUGCUAAUCUUUUUUAGCUCGAGCAGAGUGGUACCUCAGUUUUCACCAAGAUUAUUUAUCUUGGUUGAGACCGAAGUAAAGAGGGUCGGUCGGUUCAAGCUGAGGUCAAGAUGUUCAAUAUUACUCACAUCAGUUGUAUUUCCAAACUAUAUUUGAAUUUGAAUUCUUAAGUUGUGCAUACUUAUUUAAAUUUUCUAGAGGUUACUCUUUUUGUCACUUAGGACUUAUUUGGUUUGUAGGAAGAAUUUUUCUUACUGAAAUAUUUUUCUUCAAAAACUAGUAUGUGAUAUAUGAUAUAUGGAAAAAUAAUUUUUGCACAUUUGGUUAAUCAUAAAAAAAUAGUACAAUUUCAAAAUGGCUUAUGUUUGAUUGAGCAUCUACUCUCUUAAUUGUAAAAAUUACCUACUAUGUCCUUAAGAGUAUUUUGGAAAGAAAACCAUCCCAAUUUUCAGCCCGUAGGAAUAUAAUUUUCAUAUAUUCCACAGUAUUUUUUUUCAUGNNNNNNNNNNNNNNNNNNNNNNNNNNNNNNNNNNNNNNNNNNNNNNNNNNNNNNNNNNNNNNNNNNNNNNNNNNNNNNNNNNNNNNNNNNNNGUGGACCAUACUUUUUCCUCUUAUCGUGAACCACACGAGUCCAGGACGUUGCCUUCGGCUUCGCAUCAGAUCCUUGGCUUCAAAGUAACAAAUAUCCUCGCCAACUAAAUCAGUUAUGCUUCAUAUCGCAUCUAGGAUAACACGAUACUAGGCUACAAUUUGCUCCUUCACCCGAAAGAUACGCCGUAUGGACCCACCAUCGGCGCGAGGCCGUUAGUGGGACCCAAUACAUUUAUCCGAGAUGGUGACGGCGUAUACCAUUUUCUGAUGGAGGUUUUUCCCAGAUCACUUCACUUUGUGGCUCGACGGAAGCGUGUUUACUUUUUGUCAUUUGGAUAUCAUCCUUAUCUCAUCUCUAGACUUUAUUUGCCGUCUAAAGAUGCACUACCCAUUCAGGACCGCACAGAAUCUUGGUAUUCCAAUGUGUGAUUCGGAGCUUUGGGGUUGCUCCUUUAGGAAGAUUUGAUAUCCCCCAGAUGCAGGAUAUAUCAGCGGAUUCAAUAGUGGUUGGAUCAAAAAUUCAUCAUAUUUAUUAAAUGACUUAAAAAAAUAAAUUUAAACUCUACUUGUUUAUUAAACGGAUAACUCCACCCGUUCCGCAUAAAUUUUUUAUUAUAUAUAUAGAGUUGGAUUAAAUGAGUUAAACAUACUAAGUUAUUUUUUAAUAGGUUAAACAAGUUACGCGAGUUGGGUUAAACCUCGGUCUAUUGUACCAUCAUGCAUCGUCCGUUACGAGGCGUAUCGUACCGUCCGGAAGAAAAUCAAUAUGAAACUUCACUUUAAGUUGGUAUACAUCCGGUACCAAUCCGUACCGAGGUAUAUUGAGGUAUGUAUUAGUCUGUACCGAAGCGUGCCGACUUGUAUCGAGACGUAUCGAAAUAAAAAAAUCGAAAAAAAUAGUUAAAGAGCUAUUUUCGUACCGAUAAAAUAUUGAUGUGGUAUUCAAUAUCAAAAUUAUAGGCCUUGAGUUAAAUAAUAAGUAGAUUUAGAUAUAUUAUUUAAAUGAAUUAAAUGGAUUGUAUCAUGAUCUAAACUAAUUAUUAAAAUAUUAAAAUAAAUUAAAUAGGUUUAAACCUAAAUCUGACCUAUUUAAUAAAUGGGUCCAAGAGGUUCGCCGGUUUAUGUCAUUUCGCUGUCCCGAGUCCAAUGGGGACUGACAGAUAUGGCGAUUGCAGCCUGAGGCCACCACGGGGUGUGACGUGGACUUCCAUCCAAUUAUCCAAAAGGAGCGGGGGAUGGAGAGCCCCUCGUCCGCUUGAAGGGCCAUUUUGAUUGGUGUGCCGGCUGUCCAUACCUCGAGCCAAAUCGAUGGAUUCCUCGAGCAGAUAUCAAUUAGGAUGGCGAUUUGAUUUGAUCGUAUCAAGUAUACCAUGAGAGCGAGAACAAGACAAAUGCCGACAGACCCAUCUAAGAAAAUUGAGCGGAUUCGGCUUCUACGUAAAUGAUGGCGGAUCACUGCAAGGAAAAAAGAGAGAGAGAGAGAAAAAAAAAAAAAGGUUAUAGAGACAAAAAAAGGAGAAUAAAAAAAAUCAAAAAGAAAGCUAAAAUGUUUUAUCCCAUCAUUCAAUUACCCUAAUUUAUAAGUGGGAUGACCUUAUAUAGGCCUUAAAUCAUGAAUUGACCAAAUCAAACAAUUAACAACUAACUAAAUUUGGGCCCUUAAUUGAUUACAUACUAAAUUAAACUUUACCAACAUUAAGCUAUUAAACCAAUUGAUCACACCCAAAAUCGGACCUUUAUAAUUAGGUCUUAUAUUGAUCAAUUGAUCCAAUCACUUGACUCAACAACCAAAUCAACUUCAAAAUAAUAGAAACACAACCAAAUUGACUCAAACAAAAACAACUAAUAAGGCAAUAAAAGAAACAUAACGCAAAUUCGAAUGGACCCGAUCUAGGCUUAACUCCAUUCUGUAGCUCAGGAUCCUCUCGUAGCGAUAAUGAUGUCAUCCUCUAGUGCAGGCGCGAGCGAGUGGCUCUCAUGGCUCGAUCGUCUAAACGAACAGCUCUGAUGUCUUUAUCAGUAAAAAGCUGAGAAAGACAGACCACCCAUUUUUAGAGAAUAUCAGAAGGUUAUUAAAAAUGUGUGGUGCCUUUCAGUUUCAGACUGCGCAUAUCAACAAAAAGACGAAUAAAGCUACUGAUUGGAUCGUCUCCUUUGCCGCCCACUAUUUUGAAGAUUUUUUCUAGAUUUGUCUUGUAUCUAUUUCUUCAUUUUUGAGUUGUAUCUUUUCUUUUAACUCUAAUAGCAAUACUCACGCAAGAUUAGUAUGGGCAACGUACAAAAAAAAAAAAACUUGGUGUCUUUCAAAUUGUGCAUAUCUACAAAAAAACAAACAUAGCUACAUAUUGGAUUUUGCCGCCCACUAGUUUGAAGAUUUUUUUUAAAUUCAUCUUGUAUCUUUUUUUUUUUUACUUUAAUGGCAAUACUCACAUGAAAUUAGUGUGAGCAACGUAACCAAAAAAAAAAAAAAAAAGUACCCCACCAAAAAUUUUGGUCUCAAUCCAUAUCAUGGCGGUGGCCGCCAAUGUAACGUAUAACCGGAACGUGUCUCCAGCUCCUCCAAUCUUGCUUCGGCGCGAGGCUAUUAGCCCAAUCCCAGCCCAGAUGCGGCUGGGCCGCAUGCGAUUGAGCCUCAUGGCUGGUCGCAAGAUGGGCAGUGCCCAAUCUAGGAUUUGAUGCAAACAUUUCAAUUCCUCUAUUCGAUUAUUUCUUUUGCUAAUUAAUGGGGAAGAUAAUCUCAUUCUCUUGCAUCUACGUCUUAAGAAGCUAUAAAGCAACCAAGAUUUUCUCCUCCAAGUGGCACAAUCUGAAUGGACGAACUUGUAUUACAACAUCCAUCAUUAUAGAUAAACAUGUCGCAAAUGUUUGGCAUGCAAUUAGCUUAUUAAAAUAUUAGUCUGCACUCUGACCAACCAAGAUUUUUUUUUUCUUAUGUGGGGUACGACUGUGGGAAGAUUGAAAUCUAGAGGAAGAAAAAAAAGAAAGCAACCUCCCGAAAUCUCAGCAGCCAUGUGUAACAUGUCCUCCACCAAAAUCCAAAUCUCCCUUCAACCUUCGUUGAACAAGCUUUAAGACACUAACUUUGUUGAGCUGCCAAGUAUCCUUAAGAAUGGGAUGCAGCCCAAUGCCUAAAUUAAUGGUCAGAUCUAAAACAAUGAGAUCUCAAAUUUCCAUGGUAGCAAAGACUUAAACCUAUUGGAUUGCAAUCUUGCACAUGCUUUCGGGCCAUGAAAAUUAUUCUGUAUUUCAAUUCUUCUUUGUCAUAUUGCAAUAAAAAUUAAGUUUUGGUGGCUAAUCAAAAAUUCUUAAAAUUUUGGGAUCUAAGUUUAACUAGUUCAAACUUGGGGAGGUGUUUCUAUAAUUUUCUUUUUUGACUUUUUUCAUAUUAUUUUGCUGCAAAAGGACCAAAAUUUCUAUCAAAUUGGGGAUUUUCUUGACAGUCGUCGUGGAUAAUCAUGCACAACAAAUGACUAGUGUUAGAAUUAUUAGGAUUUUUUAUUAUCUUUCAAAAUUAUUAGGAAUUGCUAAUGUGUGACAGAAAUAAAACAGAGGGAAUUAAAUAUAAUUAAACAAGUAGUGUAGCCAAUGAAGAUGCUAAUAUUUGAUAGAAUUAAAUAUAAUUAAACAGAGGGCAUGAUGUCGAACGGAUAAACCAAACUCAAAUUUGAAGCUGGAUCGGGAAAAAGUAUCUCAAUUGGUGCUAAUAUCUUAUUCAUUUAUAUAUAAAUUUCCUUGCGUUUAUCUACUUUUUGAUCUAUAAUUUCUUUAUAGUAGUAACUUGCAUGUCAAUGUACAUUAGAGAAAAAAUAAUAUAUAAGAUAAAGUUACAUCCGUACCUUUCUACAUAUCUAUUAAAUGUACAGAGAAAUCAAUCCUGCCUUCAGAAUUUGAGAAAAUCUACUACAAAAUUAGAGAAAAUUGACAAUAUCACAUCAUUAGAGGAGCCACAUUAAUCUAAAAUUCUGGAUCACGAGUUUAUCAUAACACUUAUAGAUUAACUUUUAAUAGGCAUCAAUUGAAAAUAAAAAUUUUAAUCGGCAUCAAUUCAAAGAAUACUUUUUCUUGACUGAUCUGGACUCUUCUAAAUUAAGAUCAGUUAAGAUCCUAAUCAACGUCAAAAAAUAGCCUACAUCUACAUCAGUAAAAAAAAUCCACCAAUUUGCUCAAAAAAAAAAAAAAAUCCGCACAGUAAAGGCUCUUCCUCUUAGGCAUCACUUGAAACAAACCAAAGAAUCUUAAUCAGCAUACCAAUUCAAAAAAAAAAAAAAGAUUAAUCGGGACUCUUCCUAAUAACUCAAUUAAAAAUCCUAAUUGUUAUCAUUUCCAAAAAAGGAAAAAUAAUUGAUAUUAAUCUAAAAAGCAAAAACCAGCUAUUAAGAUUUUCAAUACCCAUGUUAAGGACUCUUCUUCAUGCCGCAUUAGUUGAAACAAAUAAAAGUAUCAACCGGAAUCUUUUAAAUCUUUUUUCUUGACUUAUCUAAUCUCUCCAUAAUUAAUACCCAAAAAAAGACUGUUACCUAAAUCCUUAACAAACCCGCUAUUAUCAUGUGGACGCCUGCAUAAUAUCUCUACUCCCUAUUUUAAAUAGUAAUUUUGUUGCACUUGGUCAAUAGAUUUAAAUUUAAGAAUGCAAGACAACAACAAAUUAUAUUGAAGGACAAACUUGACCAAAUCUGGCUUUGAUUCCUAUUCGUUGGUCAGAUUACAAGGCCUUGGAUCAGCCGGAUUCAAAAUGGAUUAUUAGGUCAAUAGCCUCCAGUGCAACCGUCAUUUAUCUUAUCAAUGACUCUUCCUAGAAAUUAUCCUCGCCGAUCCAAUCAAUAAAUGAUCUUUUCUUGGACAUAUAUAAGUUAACAGAGCAACAGCUCAUUAGGUCAUUAGCCCUCAUUUGAACCGGUUAUUCUAUUCCACGGCUCUUUCUCAUGAGUUGCUAGGUGCUUCCUUCUGUGAAUUAUACUCGUCCAAUAAACAAAUGAAUGAACUACUCUCUAUUGUUAAACUAUUGCUAAAGAUUGAACCAAAACAAAGUCAUCACAUAAGAAAAGAAGAUAUACUUUGCAAUUCCUAGCUGUUUCAGCAUUCAUAACUUCAAGAAGCAAUCCAAGAAGUUCACAAUGAAGAAUAUUAUGGAUUAUAUAUAAUGAGUAAAAGUUAAGACUCAAGGGAUAUUUCAUUACUAAAAUUUAUGAUAAGCAACAGUUGACCUGACCUUGGAUGGCCUUGGUAGAGAGUAAAUCUAUAUUAGUGUUUCGGCUGUGCUCAUGAGAAGAUGAUGGUCAUAAACCGAAAUCUAUACUAUAACAUUAACAAGAAGAAUAUAGAUAUGAUGGUACAAGAAGAAUAGUAUAUUAUGAGAAUAAAAAAUAAAUAUACAAUUUAAGAGAAUAUUUAUGCAAGUUUAAAUUUUUAGUAGGAUAUUUAUGAAAAAAAAAACCCUAUAUAAUGCAACAUUAAACUUGGUCUUAUCACCCUACCUACGCUCACGCAAGAAUGGAUCAUCCAGCGCAGUCAACGUCAGCCUGAACCAACCCAAAAUAUAAGCUGAUAAAUAGGCAAUCUCCUAAAACAACAAGAACAGCAACCAGCCCUCCACGCCGACGUGUCCUACUUACACUCACAAGUUCGGUGGGCCCCACUUUAGUUUCGUCGAACAUUAUAUCACCAAGGACAAGGAGGCUGUUUGCUGCCGGCCAAGACUCAGCUGAGCUCUACCCUUCCAUACGCCCCCUGAAAUGGACCGAAUCACAAGCGACAGGCACCAGGAAAUUUCCCUGCAAUUACAGCUGGCCCGGCCCUGGUCCACGAGCGUGGGUCCCAUUGCUUCACGGGGGAGACCUAAAAGAAGCGUAGACGCGUGCAACGCCGGCUGGACCCCUUCCGGAAGCCCCACAGGACCCCACUUAGUUCAGAAGGGACAGGAACAUGUUUUCAUCAUUAAGCAAUCAAACGACCAAUGAUAUCCUUCCCUUGCGAGCUGUCUCUCCUCUGUCUCAUCGAUCUAGAAAAGACCCAUAAAGUUGGUGACUCGGUUCAUGGAAAAGGAGGAUGGUUGCGAAUUUCUUGAGAUUUUAUACGGAUAUCAUUUCACAUCGUGCAGAAAUUAGAAUAACUCCAAGAGGACCAAGACCUAGAUGGAGUCCACGUCUAGUGUAUAAAGCCUUCCAAGUUGCAAUCCUCUGGCCAAGAAAAAUAGACAUGGAAUCACGAAGGGCUCCCUUCUUCUUCCUGCUGCUCCUGGUUUCAAUCCAAUAUCUUCACCUCUCCGGGUUUGCAGAAGCCAGGCCACUGCCGCUGCCCUCGGGGAAACAAGAGAGUAAGAGCUUCUCUGAAAGUUACUGAAGAAUUUUACCUGUUUAUGCUGUGUCCGUCUAAUUAUGUGUAUUUGAAGGGAUGGGUAUGAAAGUCUAAUGAGUCUUUCAAUCAUGGCGUGGUUCAGGGCAUGUCAAGGUGCUGGAGUCGCUGGGCCUCCUCUGCCGGUGCUGCGACGGAGUGGGAGGGGAGUGCAGGAGCGCCUGGGAAUCCACCUGCACCAAACUCGACUGCCGUCCCUGGAAAUCUUUGUGAUUUUGGCAUCUCAAUUUUGGUUUUCUGGCCUUGUAAAUAACUUCUGAAGAGUUGGUACUUGAAGCAUCAAGCAAAGCCAUGCAAAUGCCUUCCAUAAUAGCUAGUCUCAAUAGGAUAUGGUGACCUCUGUGAAUUGCACUUGACUAGGAACUUUGGAAUGGUGCAAUUGUUGGGCAAAAUCAGCAUGAUCAUACACAAACAUUACAAAUUGACAUCACAGAAGUUAAUUAGAGCCAUGGGCUUGUUCAAAGAAAACAAAUAAUGAAGUAACGAGAGCAAAAUGUCAGAGGAGAGAAUGGUUACAUAUAAUAGAAGAGGAAGAUGUUGAUUACUUGUCCGGUUUUGACUCUGCUUUCAUUUGCCAAUGCUCUUGAGUAUGGUAAUCGAAAAUCUGCUUUCAUUUGCCAAUAUAUAAAAGAUGUUAAUUGCUUGUGUAGUUUAUACUUCAGGAUGGUAAUUGCUUGAUAUAUAUCAGUCCCCUGAGAUGCAUCAACGACAGGUCCAUUAUCUGCAUGAAUUGCUUCCCAUAAAAACAUCCUACCCUUUACCAGAUCACUAUCCACGGAGCCUGGUUCGCAGUACCUCUCCGAUAGACCAAAGAAGGAAAAGAAAGAAGAGAAAACUAUGUAUAUAUAAAAGAGUGAAGCCCAAGAGGCAAAUCAUCAAAUGGGAUCAUCUGACAAAUUGAAAACAUUACCUUGAUUUGCCAGCAGAAAACUUGUUUUGCGCAUUGCCUGCAUAUAUAAUAGGACACGUACUCUGUGGGAAAUGUUGUCAUCCAACAAGAAUGACAUUGUUAAGCAGAUGCAAAUGAUGAAUAAAGUCUAGUAGUAAAAUGCGAAUAUCAUGGUCCAUUAGUAAAAACACUGCAUUGGAUGACAAGGGAACAACAGAUCUCCAACAAAACUUUUUGAAUAGAUGCAUGCAAGUAGCACCAGCAGUAUGAUCUCAGUGAAGAGGGAAUAAAAAAUUAGACCAACUUCAUGGACAUUAAAAUAUGAGAAAAAACCCUUAUUAGUUACAUGUAAUGUUGAUGCAAACUCCCCUUCAUUUACCUGGUGGUGCACUGUGAGCAUCACCUCAAAAGCUCUCAUGUUCUGGCCAAAGUUCAGGGUCAAGCAUGCCAAUUAUGUUGUUGCUCUCUGCUUCAAUUUCAUGGUGUAGUGCUGUACAGACCUAGAAAAUGCCAUGAAUUUGUGGUGUGGAGCUUCAGCGUUUUGCUUGGAAACACAGAAACUAUUUCUUCCAUGCCAGCGAAAAUGUCAAAAUAUCACAUAUGUAGAUGAUAUUGUCACAGGGGUUCUACCCUAGGCUCUUACUGGCAAACUUUUCAUAUUCUUUGAGUUAGCUUGGCUGCAAAAUCACUGAAGCUUCUUUUAUGUGCUUCUCCAACUCAAUACAAUGUGCUCGGACUAUGAUCAAAUUUUUCUCGUAGGAUCUUUUAUGCAUACGGAUGUGCUCUUCUGGGCCUAGCGAACAAGUUGGUCAAAGAAUUCACAAUUCAGCUUUUGGGCACACUCUGAUUGAUGCUACGAGAGUGUGGAAAUCUAGCGAUCAAACAUGGCAAUGCAUUGAGUCUGGAUUUUCAAAUUUUAUGGACUGCUCCUUAAAACUACAUCUUAUUAAAGGUUUUCUUCUCAUAAACAUCUUAUUCUACGAUCUGUGUUAAAAGAAAGUUCUAACAUCCCAAAAGAAAUUUGCCCCCAUAUCCAACUGAAAGAUGCUAACAUAGUAUAUGGAAGGUGCCAUUACUUUGUUAGAAAGAGGCUACACUGUCAUGUAAUGUACUUUGAUAAAUCAAAUCAAUAACAUUCACGAGAACUAGUAUGAUAUUUAGAUCAAUUAGCUUAAGGGAUCAAAUGCAAAGCAUCAUUAGCUAGUUCACUGGGAACAUUCGGAUAUGGUAGUAGUUCUAUGAGUAUAAAAAAUUUCACAGAUUUAUUACCAAAAAAAUGAAGGAAUGACAUUACCUAGCAAAAACAUUUCUCCAUCAUCCAUGUAUUGCACCAACAUUUUUAACAGAAUCACAUGUGAUUUUUUUUUUCUUUAAUUGCUUUUUAUUUUUUUGAGAACUAGGAUGGGAGGAAGCCCAGCUGAAAAUCAGGUGAGGGUGGAACUCAAACCCACCAGUUAAUUUACCAACAGCACCAGCUGGCAAUGUUGCUUUAAUUUCUUUAUUAAUGCUCACCUAAAGAGGGUGUUAUCAGGAUAUUUGUACCAAUUGGUCAUUAGACACAAAAACAGUGCUCCAGCUUGACCAGUGGCCCAAAGAAUAAAAGCCCUACAACAGGCCAAUUACAGAAGGUACUGACAGACAGCUCAAAUUUGAUGCAAGACGUGUCCUUGUCCUUAAGAUUGCAUGUUGGUUUUAACAAAACUAUGCCAUUCCAAAACCAAUUCUGUUCAAAACCUACCAAGCAACCAUAUCAUUUCCAUUUCUUUGUGAUAUACAAAAUCUAGUUGGCUUAGAUUGGGAGCUUACCUGUCCCCAAGCACUUGCUCCAAUAGACUAUGGUGGAUAGACUCAGUUAAGUACUCAUCAUGCAGCUUCUCCCCCAAGUACACUAAUGUAAACCUGUCACAUCAAAUGAUUUCCAACCCAUCAAUCCAUCUCAAAGCUUAUUUGCUUUGUAGCAUCAAAUAAUAGCAAGUACCAACGACCUUCUGCAUACACAGUUCUUAUCAUAGAUUAAUGCUCACCUGUUUGUCUGCAUCGGCACAAAUGGAAAUUGGAAGGAGAGAUGGUGAGAAUGGUGGUGAGAUGAAGGAGCAAUAUCCAUGCAGUAAAUGAGAAAGCAAUUACAGCAUAAAUGAGAAAGCAAUCACAGCAAUCUUUCAAUUUGCUUAGGCAAAAGUGCAAAUAAGUUAUUAGAAGAUAAUAAGCUCUGUGUUAUUCAUUUGUUCUAUGAAACAGUCACUAUUUCAUACAUCCCACCUCUCUCUAGUGAUAUAUGGCACCAUGUAUCGAGAAUCACUUGGCACACUUAGGGCAUGUCUGGAAAAUCCAACAGGAUUGGGCUGAAUUUCUAUAGGAAUCGGGCUUGUUAGCCUGCUCAGUCCCUUUUUUUCUAAAGGGCCGUCCUAGUCUUGGCCUAAAUUCCAUCUAUAGGCCUGUUGGACAGCAUGUUGAGAAAAAAAAAACUAUGGAGGUCUUUUUUUUUAUCCCAUGGGAUUUGGGCUGGAGAGAGAUUGGGUUGAUAUGGACCUUACCUAAAUAGACUAUGUAAUCCAUGAUCCAACAAGAAAUCCAACCUAAUCUUGCUGGAUUUCCCAAGAAGACCCUUACUAUGUGAUAGAUACUGUCAUCCUUCAUAUUUGGAAUAUACCCAACGACUCAUGAAUACUUUACAAACAAACCAAGAUAUGACCUAUUCUGGUUAACUAGGUAGAUUUUAUUCCUUAUGGUGGUGGCAGGAGUGACAAAGAAUAGUAGGUCACUUUGAUGUCUCAUUACAUAUUCGACACAUGUCAUUCCAUUUGCUAUGACUUAUCAUUUCUCUAAAGGAGCAUUUGGAGGCUAAUCACAUCACUACGAGGAGGAUUCAUUCUAAUUUGGCACCGUUUGGAGCCUGCAUUACAUCAGGCACAUCCCUUUUACCUCCGAAAAUUAACGGUCCUGUUUGUAGUUUAGUAAUCCAGGGGCAUGAUAAAUGCAUCUUAGGGAAAAGAAAAUUCUAUUGAUAAAAACAUUUGUACAUCACUUUAUAUUUUAAAAGAUAGAAGAUAGGAAAAGCUGGGAGAGAAAGGACAGAUUAUUCAAAGAUAAAAAUGUCAGCUAAUAUUAAUACAUUUAUACAUCCAUUUACAAUUUUACAUUACAGGAAUCUUUAGAAAAUUUAUCUACAUAACGAGUAAAUGAAUUUUUAUUAUAAUUACCAAUAAUAUGAUGAAUAGGAAAUGAUAUUAAUUUUGUUGCAUAAAGUUCUGGUAGAGAAAGGUCAAAAGUAAGUACAUAAAGUUCUGCAAUCUCAACAACACCUCUCACAGGCAUUGGCUCUUCAGUUUUCAGAUACACUGUUUCCAUUUAUAUCCGAAGUUAAGACAAAACUCAUUGGAAAAGCAUAUGGCAGAUAGCAACCUUUGAAAAUGUACACAGAUAAGAAGUACAUGAUCAUCUGAUAUAUGCUGGGACUUCAGCGAGCUCUCCGAAUCCAUUGAAGGCAAGCAUGCCCAUAAAAUCUAGACCAUGUAAUUUUCACCUCUGGAUUCAUUGAUGGUGAUAUGCUAUCCAGCCAUAACAUAAUUAGUUUCUAACAUAAGUAGGAAACAAUACAUUCAGCACCAAGAUUUAGAUAAAUAAUAAAUAUGCAAUCAUCUGCUAUUAGAGACACUUAAAAGGCAACUUUACUGCCCAAGCAAAUUGGAUCUGCAAACAGGCGAAUGCACCCACUUAAAAAAUCAAGGAUAUGAACUUUUUUUGUUUUUAAGAAUGGUUAAUCAAUAGAGGAGUAAGAAAAAUACAUAAGGAAUAUGGACAAUAACGGCCGGGGGGGGGGGGGGGAGGGGGGGGGGUAGGUUGGGUUGUCNNNNNNNNNNNNNNNNNNNNAGGUUGGGGUUGUUCGAGCGGAAAUGGAUAGCAAAGGUUGAGAAGAGGGUUCCAUACCGUUGGGUGAGUUUCCAAAUCAUGUAUAAAAGUAGAAAUCGUUGCCUCUUUUAUCACAGGAAUAGCAGCUCCAGAAACACAGUGACUAACUAUACUUCCAUCCUAGACAUGGCGUGGAAUCAUUAGCGGAGCAAAGAUCCCCGUCAAUGCAGUCACACGGAGGAGACGGAGGCGAUCAGCAGCAGGCGCCGCCUCUGGGUGAGAGAUUUCAUCGAACGCCUUCCGGGCAGGAAUCUUGGUUCCCGGGGCCACCUCGAAUCUAAGCGGUCUUCUAUCUUCAUCGACCCGGGCGGCCCAGAUCUCCGAUGGGCCCCGAAUCCCAUAUUGCGGCUGGACGCGAGGGCCAAGCGCUUCUCUGAUGCUUUUCGAUGAAAAGAUAAAGCACCUGGAACCAGACCCGUGAAAAACUGGGUAGUUCUGCGAGCAUCCUACUACUACUCCUGCUCCCUGUCCUCGUCCCCUAUAAAAGUACAAGCAAAAUACCCUCGCGAUGCGGAAGAGGUAAAAAAAAUAAUAAAUAUAAUAAAUAUUUAUUAUUUCUUAGUCACAUGGCUUAUUGAUGAUACGGCAGGGAAUUUGUCUCAAUUUUUUCUUGAAAUUUUCAAUAAAAAUAAAAAAAGCCUAUAUAUCAAACUUGAUGCAAGUAUUAGUAAAACCAAAUUAGUAAUUCAUAUACUUCGUGAUCGAAAAAAGCUAGACAAUAUUUCAACAAUACGAUUACCUCAUAUAAUGGACUCUUAAGAUUUCGUUAGUAUUUUUUUUAGAAGUACGGCCCAGAUGCUACCAACGAACGGGUUGGAUUCCUGGUUCUUUUUAUUUUGAAAAAUAUUUUAUGGAAUUAUUUCUUUCAGAAUUCGGAUUAAAUGGGAAAAAAAUCUGACCUUACUCUUUAAAAUAUUUAUUUUAUUUUCAGAAUAAAUAAACUACUUUUCUGUAUUUGAUUUUCUAAAUGAGUAAAAAAAAAUGUUUAUUCCAUUUAGUUUUCAUCCAACACGCAGCCAAACACAGCCUUCAUACUAACAAUAUAUUUAGAAUAUAAAAGUAUAAUAUAAUAUGAGGCUCUUGAUAUGUACAAAAUCACAGGCGUUCAUCAAAUGCUCCAUUUUUUAAAAAAUAAAUCACGUACCUCGGAGUUCACUAACGUGUCAUGAUAUUUUUCCCCAAAUCUAUAAUAAGCACGCCAUAUCGGAGGCCACAAGGAACUGGGUUAAUUGUUUGUUAAAGUGAACCCACACAAAACUACAAGUCGCAGUACACUGUGCUGUGAAAAGAAUAAUGGUGAACGCCAAGUUCGACUUCCUGUGAAGUCCAUGUAACACGCUAUAUCUGUUUCAGACAAGGAUGCAGCAGAGAGCUGACAUUUUUGCGUGGAAAGAACAUACCCUGCAUCUCACUCUCAUCCAGUUGUGAAUGGCUAGGCCAGCUCAAUUUUGAAGUUCACAUCAGCUGUGCUAAUCUUCUGUGUGAGAUCUUAGGCAGACACUGCUCUCUCCAUUAUAAAUUUACGGACACGGACAAAGCUUGGACUUUGUACCAGGUAGAUGGCUGCCAUGCUUGGACUUGGUAUGAGGAUUGAGUCAUAACACAACUGUUAUGAAGCUUGAGGAUAUGGAGUAGAGGGGAUACGAGCUUACUUCCAAGUAUGGCCCUGAUUGGUCAUGAAAUAUGCUUGUGGCAUUAACAAUAAUAUCAUCUAACUCGAACAAUAAUAUCAUCCAACUUUUGAGCAAAUAAAUGAUGGAAUAAGUUCAAAUAGGACAGAAAGCCAUGCAUGUUUUUCUGAAAUGCAGGCAUUCUUAGAAUACAACAGUGUCUAGCAUGGCCCCCAAUGUCUGGACUAUAUUAGAUGACAUCAGGUUUGAGACAUGCUCUUCUAGACGCUUCUUCGCAUCUUGCCUUCCAACAUUUGCAAUUGCCAGCUUCUCUGGUGGCAGCUCAUCUUCCUCCCGAACCGCUUUGUUAUAUUUGAUGGCCAAAUUUAGCAUUUCCUGUUUUCAGGCCAAACAUCAUAAGCUAAAUUCAUCAGAGAAUUCGGCAAUUAAUUCACGGUUCACAACUAGCUGAUGGGAAUUGAAAAAUUUUACAGCAACGUGAAGCAAAUUUCUAUCAUGAUGAUAUCACAGCACAAUUGACAGGAGCGGUAAGAGAGCUGAAGAUCCAGGCAACGUUACCUGCACGGUCUGUUCAUUAGUUUUAGAAUGAGCGUCGAACUGCCGCAGUGUCAGGCCAUCAGUCCAUUUCUUUUUGUGCAGGUUCAGCAACAUCUUUUCUUCAAGCUCAUUUUUCCGAUAGUUUAUGGCUAUAGAGUAGUAAUGCCGAUUCAACCCAUGAAUGAGUGCCUGGUAAAUGAAAACCAUUUAGAAAGGGUUACUUUGCAUUAAGACAUUUAAAUGAAGGUUACACAACUUACUGCUUCAACAAGCAGUUUACCUGAAUAGAUGGCUUGUUGAGAUGCCCAACAUUAGAAGUAGUCUGGCGAGGCUCUUGGCCUAGCAUCAUGGUCUGAGGAUUGAUCAAGCGGAAAGCAUCAAUAACCACCUUCCCCUUAACACUCUGAAUUGGAUCUAUGACAACUGCUACUGCCCUUGGAUUCAAGGCUUCAAAACUCUGCAAGAGGCAUGAAAGCAGUUUAAUGCCCAGAGCCACAUGGUAAACUUAGUAUUAAUGAUAGAAUUAACCAUAUGAAUUGGCAGUAAGAUUUAAAAGGAGGUCUGGAGUGAAAGGGAAGGAGGCACGACAUUAGUCCCAGAACCAGUGAAACAAGAAAAAAGAAUCACUCUUCUUCCAAAGGUAGUGCAACAUCCUACCAAAACAUAGUAACCAAGCAUGUUAAGCCAUUGGAUGUGUGAUUUGGACAAAGAAGAGAAAAGACAAGUUCCCCCAUCCUUAUCCAAAACAAAAAAAAAGUUGAUUACCUGCUGCGUAUUUAUAUCAACACCAGAAAGCCAACAACCAAAGCCUGGAUGAGAAUGGUACCACCCCACAACCAUCUCGGGCCUGCACAAUUAGGACCAUAGUUAUCCACGAUUACUCAGAGGAAGUCUUAGCAUGUGGAAAUAACCAAAAUAAAGAACAGCGGUUCCAAUAAUGAAACAAAGCUAUCGUUCUGCAGGCCUAAUAAACAUCAANNNNNNNNNNNNNNNNNNNGAGUUGUUAAUGUAGGAAGUUAACAAAGCACAACUAUUGGACAAUGUAAUAACUAAAAAAAUAGAAAUAAUAAUAAAGUGAGAGGAAGGAGCGGCGGCGGCAGCGGUGGCGGGGGGGUGGGUUGGUUGUGGAGAGCUAGCUUCGUGGAAUGAUAUAUGGUGGCCAUUCCUAAGGAGUACACAUUUGACCAUCAUAGGUUCUACUCCAAUCCAAAGCAAAAGUUACUGCCUUCAUGGAACCGAUUAUCACACAAAGCAGUUAGAAUUAGUAAAUUGCAUGCUUGCAAUUUUAAUCCUUUUGGAGAUAAACCCACCAGCAUAGCUCCUUAUUAUCCCUUUUAAUAUCUCCACUGGAUUCCCUAAAUAGCAAAUGCUAACAGCCAGAUAUUGGAUUUAACUUAACGACCUAAAUUCCAGUGCCAGCUAAUGGCCUAAAAGGAUGGUCCAUCAACCUACCAGACAUUGGCCAAAGAUGCUUUCUGCCUGGGCUCUCUUUGAGGUGUCAAUACCUUCUCCUGAAAUCUAUUUCUAGGAUUUCAUUAUAGGUACAGACUGGCUUGGCUGUUAUCAAAAAAAUGACAGGUAUAACCUCCAGAAGGUGGCAAGACAGAAUGAACAGAAGAAUGCCACAAUUUAGGAGAUGAAGAAGAACUUAUCACACCAAGAACAUGAACUGUUAAUGCAAAACAGAUAAACUACCUCACAUCGGCAGAUCCAAGGUAAUUUUCCUGCAAAUAAGAAAAAUAUACAGCGAUGGAAGUUUCAAAUACCACUUCACAUCCCAGGUAACACUUAAGUCAUCGAGUCUCUCUCUCUCUCUCUCUCUCUCUUCAACAGCUAAUACUUGAAUCACUUCACAUCCUAGGUGCAUGCAUGCACAUGCACACACAUAUGCAUUCUACUGAAGUCUAGUAGAUGCAGUCACCUAAUAGAACAAUACAGCAAGACAAAGAACACAACAAUGCAACCAGAGAAAUGGGGAUCUCAUAUUCCAUUCACCAUAAGAUUUGAAACAUACUUCUUCUUUGUUCCAAGAGGCCAAAGUAGUUGGCACAAAGCUUCUUAACACUACAUCCCUCCAAAAGUCUAUCCUCCCCCAUCCUGACACCAAUUAUGGAACAUUUAGCAUGAUGAAUAAACCGACCAUUAACUCGUCGCGAACAGCCAGAAAGGAAUUAAAGCUAACCAAUAUUUGCAACUCAUGCUCACAUAACAUCGGUAAGUAAUCCACAUACUGCAAUCAGGAUUAUAGCAGACCUUAGAUAGCACACGUCUGAUACAAUACCUUAUAAUAAUCAUAAAUAAUAAAAGAAACUGUCGAAUAAUAAUGCCAGACACUUGAGAUGAACCCGCAACCAAAAUAAGAGAGAAAGAUGAGGACCUUCCGGUCUGCUUGAGCAUAUCGAGCAUGUUGGUCUGGAAGACGUGGUCGACGGCCUCGACGCUGACGCCGGUCCCGCUCUGCGGCAUGGCGAAUACGUCUACCACCCGCACCGUGUACUCGUCCACGAACUCCCCCAGCAUCAGCCCCAUCACCUCCAUCGGCACCCCAGCCCUCCCUAUUUUGAUUUCAUUUCAUUACAUUUCAAUCAAUUAUUCUGAUAUACAUAUUCGUAAGAAGGAAGAGAACCCUAAUUUAAAGGAAAAUAGUACUCGGAAGAAGAAAACCCACCACCCUAGAUGAUCUGGUGAUGGAUGGAUGGACGGAUGGAAAAUGAAUUAAUUACCGUGCUUGAGCAUCUUGAGGAGGGCGAGGGAGGAGAUGUAGACCUGCUCCGACGAGUCCACCAGCGGGGAGUCCGUCGGCGGGUGCCCCAUCCCUCCCGCCCCUGAGAAGAUCCGAUGCAGCCUCUCCAUCCCGCCCUUCCUCUCCCUUGCGUUCCUCUCCUCUCCUCUCCGCUUUGGGUUUCUCUCGCCAAGCAAGAAACUCCGCCUUCCAGCCCCGAGCACCAAGCCUUCUUCUCGUCCCGGUCCAACCUGUACCAGUCUUAAAGGUUGGGCCCGCGCCUCUUAUAGCACGGUCAAAAUAUUUUUAGCAAAUUAAUAUAAAAGAAUAAUAGAGAACUAACUAGAAAAAAAGAGAUAUUUGAUUUCAUCGACGGAAACGAAGCCUCCAAAAGUUUUUUUUUUUUUACUGGUUUUAUUAAAUCGAUCACAUUGACCGCUUGCCUCCGUAGCCAACAGGAGAAAGAUGUCUUGACCAUAAAGAAAAGGCAUAAUCCUAAUUAUAAUAAAAAAUGUAAAUAAAAGUAAGUUAUAAAAAAUAAAUAAAAGUCGAUUGUGAUUUUCUUUUCCAGACUACGAUUCGCUUCAAAAUGGCACAAUCUAGUUUAUGUGGACAAAUAGAGAUAGCAAUAGAUGUGUUCCAUGAUAAAGAUUUGAUCUCUCUUACACCUGAUCAUUCUUCUUUCAGACAUAUACAAAGUAUACAAAUUUAGCAUUUUCCCCUUGUUUCGACCUUCUCCAACAUGUCCAGCAUGAUACAUUUAACAUGAUGAGUUAUGAUUGAUUUCAUCACACACCACAACACAGAAGUAAAUAGCAUCUUUUGUUUCUGUCCAUCCUUCAUAACAAGUUGAACAAUAUGAUGCAGCUUGAUCAAAAGCUGAAGUCCAGAUCCAAGGCACCAUGUUCCAAAAUGUAAAAGCAACGCAACCAAAACAACUAGCCAAUCUUGAGACAGUCGUCCAUCUAUAAGUGUUUGUUACACGAAACUAUAAUUUCAUUUCUCAAAAGAACGCAUAAUCCACUUCAUAAUGACUCUGUAUACAUACAUGAGCACAUUGACUAACAGUGCAAACAAGAGACGAGCCCCAAGAUAGCAGACCCAUAGAGAUCUCUCAGGUGUGGAGAUAAUUAGCUGCCAUCAUCAACUCCAAAGUUAUUUCAGGUUCAAUAUGAAACUCUGUCUCCAUUCCACUGCCAACAACAUAGACAAAAAAGAGGUUAAGGAAUAAUUUUAACAGAAAUAGUAAGAAAGCACAGAAGGCUUUAAAAUUAGUCGCUUUUUAAGCUGAGAAGAAGCGUGUGAGGCAAAGCAUAAAGAUCAAGGACAUUGCUCGUUUGUCAUACCAGUUUAAAAAGUGAAGUUCAUUGAAUUCUUAUUCAGUUUAAACCUUUACAGUAACACAAACAAUCAAGAAUUCUGGCACAAACAGACCCGAAAUCAUACAUACAGUACACCACUUAUGUGGUAAAUUUGGAAAACCAACACAUCCAUUGAUAAGAGAGGAAAUUAUCUCUGUGAUGAACACAUAAUCUAGCUAGAUGUCCACUUUAGUCAAUAAAUAAAGUCACAAGCUCUUAUUCACAAUUCCGUCUGUCCUUUCACCGUCCAACUUCAUUUAUCCUUUCCUAUUUCUAACAAGAUUUUCAACAUGCAUGACCGGCUUGAAUGGAUAGAAAAACAAGUGCAUAAAUCAGGCAUGAGCAUUAUUUGCCAGAGCAUAUUAAAAAAUCACUCUCUUGCAAUAUAAACAAGAUGCUGCACAAUCUGACAAACACAGAAACUACAGCAGAUUUAAGUGCAUUGUAUACAUGAAUAAAGCAUUUGCUCAUCUCGCACUACUAUUUGCAGAUUCGAGUUUUAUUAGAGUAAUAAUGAACUAAGAUUUUUCUGAAGCCUCUUGUGAGGUGAAAAGUUAAGAGGAUAUAAGUUGUGAGUUCCUCCAAGCACUGAGAAAUUCAAAUAGUUCAAUUUUUUAAUUAUAUCUGGGUGCAGGGCACGCGAAGGGGGUGGUGGGAAUCCUUUCACAUGGUCAGUUUCUUUUUUUUAAGCAUUGCCCUUUACACCCUAAUAUGUAGGUGAAAACCAUCUAAACAAACCAUACGUCACACAAAGACAUAGUGCCCAAGCCCUAUAGGAGCCACAGCAUUGGGUGUGGCAUAUCUGGCACAGGUAUACGUGGCUUAUGUGUGUACAAAGCGCUCCUUAUAAUCCACUCGAGGGUUGCUAGCUACAAGCACCAAAACUACAUCAUAAACAUACAUACUUUUAAAUAUAUAAAACUGCAAAGUCCAGUGAUCUAGACAUGGUCCCACAAUGUGGAAAUUCCCCACUUUGGAUUGCAAACAUUGAUUAACCCACCAGUCUUUCUCUACCUCAAAGGCAUGAAUAAGUGUAAGAGGUGGAGAAUAACAUAACUGACGACAAAAGUAUGUUGCAUUCAAAUUGUAACAAUAAAGUCUAGUCUAUAAACAUAUCAGAAACAAGAAUAUACAUGAAAGGAAGGCUUUGUUAGCUUUUGUUUUUGGUGUUUCAUCUUCAAAAGCAUUGUGUAUUGAAUGGCUGUAUGGGCCUUGCAGGAAGAGAUUUCGACCUAGCUUACACUAAAACUAAUUUAAGAGCCAUUAAUCUUGGCAAUAAUACAACACUAUCAAUUUGAACUCAUCCAAAACCAAAAUAUAAUAUUAAUGAGUCAAACUUCUUAUAAUAACCGGGCAUUAACUAGCACGAAAUUCAAUCUGAACCAACACAUCAAGUGUGGCAUCAAAUUAUUAACACAAAAGUAAUAUCUCAUCAUAUAAUAAGCCUUGAUGAUUAUCUUCUCAGGUAGAAGAAAUACAAGAUACCAUCAUUCGUCGAUGAAGUGAAGACUCGUAUUGUUACAAUUUUUACUUUUUUUCUAAAUAGCAUUCAAGCUUUUCUCAAUCAUUUCUUCAAGAUCCUUCCUUGCCUUAAAAACUUUGAUCAAAAGUCAUAUAUUAUACUUUUUAUAGAUUAUAUAGCUUCCUUAAUUAAACAUCAUGAUUCAUGUAUAACUUUUGCAAAUACCUGAUGCAGUCAUACCAGUGCUAGGGAACUGAACCCCAUCAAACAGUUUCUUACAUAUUUCUUUAUUGAUAAGAUCUACCCCUCAAAAAUAUUUACAGAACACAUAAGAUGGAAUGCCUAACUACAUUGAUGUGAGCUAGCAUCACUUGAAAUCCAUACUAGGCAAAUCCUAUAGCUCUGAAGUCCUUAAGAAACUGAAGUGAAGCUAGUAGGCUCUUGAUAUAUAACAUGUGUGAGCCUGAAUUCUAAAAUGUUUUGAAAAAUAAUAGAUGCAUAACACCUCAAUCUUCAAAUAUUCUCUCAUUGUUCGAGAUAAAUAAUAGAGGACAGAACAAUAACCUGGAUACAUUAGCAAUCAACAAGGUAGUCAUGUGAGAUGGUGGUCUUAGGAUGUUAUCCAUCAGUUCUGAACAGUAUUUGACAACAUCAAGAUGCUAACCCUCUUUAGAUCAGUUGCUGAAGCAGAUAGUUGUCUCCUUUCCUCUUUUGGAAUGCAAUGCUGGACAAAUUGAUUAACCCUGUUCCUGAUGCCAUUCAGCAUGAGGGGAUUUUCUUUGUUAGCUUCAAGCUAACAAAAUCCUUAAGUUCAACGGGAAAGAUUCUGUCUUAUAUUUGAUAAAUCACAUCCUCACCCUAAUUAAGAGAAUGCUGCUUAGUAGUCAGAACAACCGUAGAUUCAACAAAUAAUUUAAAUUAGUCUAUUUGUGAUCUCUUCUGUCACUGGUUGUAGUUCAUUAUUUGUACAUGUCCUUAGUUUGAAUGGGAAAUCAAGGUUGACAAGAUGGAUAUUAACUAAUCCAUUGCAGAUGCUUUAUUGCCAAAUGCCCAAACCUCGCAAGCUACUACGUUGGAAACUGAUAGCUUCUCUAUAGUAGGAUCCACAUGCAAUAUAUUCACAAAACUUAAAAUGAACGCAAAUGACUGAAUGAUGUUCUUACAAAGCACAUCUUGUCUUGGGUAAAGGUUUUCUACUUAUUAGACUUGUCUGACAAUCCUCCUGCAUCUACCCUUCUUUUUCAUUAUAAAGGGUUUUUCUUUUGGGAGGGCCAAUAUAAAGGCAUAUGCACAAAAACUGAGAAAUACAACAUGGAUUCCGAAAUUAGAGACUCCAGAACGUACUGGAAUUGGUUAUUCAUACAAUACCCGACUUGUCAUCAACACAAUCGCCUUCCCGGCUUACCGGAAAGAAAGCCCAUGCCUUGUCAAACAAACCAUGGCAUACAAUUUUAACAGUUUAGAAUCAAGCACUGAAAGUUUCUACAAGCAGCAUACUAACAGCAUGAGAACAACAACCUAUCCAUAUAACUACUGGAUUAGGAAACUGGAAAAUGCACAUUACAUGUAGGUAAUUCUUCAAGUUACUUAUCAUCAAAAAAAAAAAAAUCAACUUUAUUGUAAAUUUUAGCUCAUUGUUUCUUGAGGAGUAGAUGCUACAAAAGUUCUGGUGGUUCUCAGCAAAAAUUAGAUGCGAAACUGAUCAUACAAGGAUUGCCACUAAGAAUCCAAAACCAAUUCUCUAUCCAGCUGUCCCUGCACUAAGGAUAAUCUCUAAAAUUGCUAACAUGUAUGCCCCGAUAAGACAGAUUGCAACAACUGAUAAGCACAGACACAUUUGGCCCUCCUUGAUUCAAAUAUUUUGGAAUCGGACUGGUACGUCUAGUGUGAUGACCUUAAAGAUCCACCAGAAAAGGAACGAAUCACAACUUGGUAAGGAGUAAGUGUCGAUCAAGAUAAGGAAGAGGGAGAAGAGGAACCUGGCGUAUUGAAGGGACCAGUAGAAAUACUGGCAGACCUUCUCCAGAAUGGGGGUGCUUAUCUCCGGAAACGUCACCUCUCCGAGCUGCGUCUCCGCGAAGCCACCUGCCAUAUACUAGACGUUUAAUGAGAAAACCUAAAAGGAAAGCAAGAUGGAAGCGAGAAACGAGAUGGUAGACCAGGGGAGGUGAGCAUGUUGCGGAUGGUGUGGGAGACCAUGGCGGCCUUCUUGUCGAUCACGAACUCGAACCCCUCCGCGCUUAUCAGCUUCACCGUCUCCUCCUUCUUCAUCCCUCCUCGUUGCCUCCUCCCCCCCACCCCUCGCCGCCCGGACCUUUAUCUCCCGUUUCGACCGGUUCCAAAUAUUUGCGUCUCCGCGUUGGAUUGCCGUGGUCGGUGCUUCUUUGUCAUGCGAAAUGGAUGCGGCGCAUCCGAUCCGUGUGCAUUGAUCAACAAAUGGAUGACCAGGCUUGCGGAGCAAGAUUUAUAUAGUCUAUUGGAAGGCAUAGCCCAAACGCAAUCCAUAUUACUCCGAGUUGUGUCGGAUUUCAAAGUGGUGUAACAACUUAGAACCUCAUCUAAAAUAAUUAAUCAAAAAAUAUUAUUUAGAUUUUUUGUUCUAUCCAACAUAUGCUCACAUACUUUUUUUCGUUUAACUCUCGACGUUCUCGUCAAGAUAAGAAUUCAAAUCCAUUCAAAUCUAACUAUAGUCGGACUCAAUAAAUUCGUACUACAGUGUUCCCUAGUCUACAUAAGUUAUGAAUCGGAUUUGUCCUGAUAUUAUUUGUAACAACUCAAAACCUCAUCAAAAAAACUAGCCGAAAGAUAUAUUUUGGGUUUCUUAUUAUGUAUAAGUACCCAAGUUCUUCUCGGCGAAUAAUUGAUGUGAUGCUAAACAUAUAUUCGUAUGAAUCUUCAUAGAUAUCUUGCCCAUUUCAAGUCAAUAGCGAAGGCUCGAACUACGCGAUCUAAUCAUGCCUCCAACUUAGAACAACGCUACCAGAUGGUGGUUUGGAAGGGGAACCGAGGAAGAUUUAUGAGCAUGCCAUUACGGUCCCUAGGUUACAUCAGCUUGGAAUGCACCCUAAACCAAGUGUUAAUCAGGUCUAACUUGUGCCUAGUUUAGCUUCAUCAAUAUGGUUGCCUAUGAGCAAAAAGUGGCCUUGAUACAGUAACUGUAAUUGUUCCUUAGACAAAGAUAGAGGUCCCUUGGGAUUUAUGUGAAUCACAUUACUCCAUCUUUGAAUGAGGUCAAAAAUUUUAUGCAAAGUCAAGAUUAUUUUUGGGUAAAAAUGUCAUUAAAGACCAAACUGUAAAAGGUAAUUAUAUCAACCAAUUCAAUAUUGUAUGAAUUUACAAUCCAUUAAACAAUUAAUUCAUAGUGCCAGACUCAAGGACUUUAGAUAUUUGAAGCUUUCUUAACAAAUACAUAAACACUAAGGAUUUACCAGAUCGGGCAUAAACGACUUCAUACCCACCAAAGGACGUGGACGGUAGAUCUUUAUUUUCGUACUGAAAAUCAUAUGCGGCCGCCCCUACAUCGAAUGUCAACGUGGACGGUCGAUCUUUAUUUUAUUCUUCCUUGCCGCCUACUUCGAUGCUAACGUGCGCUCACUGGAUUAAUAGAGUGAACAGAAAUUUAAAGAGUGAAAAAAAAAAUCCGGGAUUUAGUAACGCAUAAUAAUAGAAUAGAAUAAAAUAAAAUAAAAUAAUGGUUGGGCCAUUUCAAAUCAAAACGCCCUUUUUUUCGGUUUUCCGUUUCUCGCCGUUGGCAUUGGCACCUGCCUUCCCCUUCUGUCUCUCUGAUCCCCCCACCUCCUGAAACCAUCGAAUUUUCCGCUCUCUGCACCCUCCUUCGAUCGGAGGUAGGAUUUUCUUCGAUCUGAUUUCGACUAUUUUGAUUCCUUUUUUUUUUUGAUGCCGGUUUGACUUGGUGGCCAUUUUUUUAUGGUAUGGAUCGGGCUCAGAUCGGAGGGCAGAUAGGAGGAGGAAAAAGUUAUGGCGCAUCGAGUGGAUCAUGAGUAUGAUUACCUGUUCAAGAUCGUGCUGAUCGGUGAUUCUGGCGUGGGGAAAUCGAACAUCCUGUCGAGAUUCACCAGGAAUGAGUUUUGUCUGGAGUCUAAAUCGACCAUCGGCGUCGAAUUCGCGACCAGGACUCUUCAGGUCAGCACCUGUUUCCGAUCUCUGUUCGGGUUCUUGCUUUAUUUCAUUUAUUUGCCCUUUUCAGCGUGUACUCGGUUUUAUUGCUUCAUUUUGUUUAUUUGUUUGUCGGUCUGUUUAUUUUUUGUGGUGAAAUGAUCGUUCUCGGUUUCUUCGGAUAUAUAAAGAAUUCGAGGGGAAGGAAUCUGUUAUAGGCGCAAAAGCAAAAUUCCGUUCUAUUGGUUAUGCAACAGGAAUAAGCACGGCCACGAUCUCAAAUUUGAAUACGCUUAUCAAGUUUAUGUCCUUCUUGAUCGUCCAGUACUGUGAUUUAUCAACUUCAUUUGGUUUGUUUCUUUACUAUGGUAAAUCUCAUUACAAGAUCGAAGGUUGUAUUUCAUCGUGUGUUUUGCAUGUAAAUUUUGCACCAAUAGAUUCAUAUUGUAAAGAAUUGGUUCUGCGAUUUAUGUAAGAAUUAUCAUGGAUAACAGAAGAUUAAGUUUGUCUACCUUAUGUGUCUAAAUCCACAAUUCAUGUCAUUCAGAGGAGCAGCGAUGAAUUCACAAGUCAUGUAGGAGGACAAUGAAUCUAUAAGACAUAUGUAGAUGUAGCUGUGAACAUCUGAGGACUGGGAAAAGAAUGAUGCUCGAACUUUUCCUAGGUGAAACAAAAAUAACACUUCUCUCUUCCAAUCCAACAAUUAUUUCAAGUGAGUUUUCUUCUUGUACAUCUUGCUGAUUAGUUAGUCAAGAAGUGAACCAAAGUUUCCUAAAUAUGUAUCCUGCUGAUUUAUUUAGUUUUCUGUCCUUUGAGCCAUUUUGCUAGUCCUUAAGGGGCGAACUAAAGUUUAAACUAGUUUCUAUAGGUUAGUACUUAAUGAUGGAUGGCGUCAUGGCCUCUUUGUUUUUCCCUUUUUUUCAGAAUACUCAGGGUCUUAUGAGUUUAAAAACAUAUUAGAAUGGCAAUUCCAGCCACUUCCUUACUUUCGGCAUAUAGCCUAGGGAGAAGUUUCUGUUUACUUGUUUAUUCUGUAAGUGCAAGUUGCUCCAUAAAUAGAAUUGUUCUUCUGAUGGAUGAAUCUGCUAAACAUUAAUUGUUUGCUGAGUCACCUUAAUGUUUCUACCUAACAUAUUCUCCUCUUACAUCUUCAUUGUUCAGUUCAUACUAACCAUCUUCCUGAAAGAUUUUAUAAAAAGAAAUAUGUUUUUCUUUUUCCUUUAGUGAAUUAUGUUGCAAUUGAUGCUUGUGGAUGGUAACACGAGUAUGUAUUCCCUAAAGGAAUGCCAUGAUGCAUGCUUCUUUUUAAAUUACAUGUUAAUAUGUUUUUCACUACUUUUGUAGUAUGCAUCAUCAACGAAAUGGGUCUCUUAACCUAAAUUCAAAGUGGUAUUAAUUCCCCUGUUAACUGAUUAUUUAACCAUCAUACUUUAGUUUCUACUUCUUGCUUUAUUGAUGCAGUUGUCAGUGCUGCAAUAAUUUGAUAUUCUGAACAGAUAGAAGGGAAAACCAUCAAGGCACAGAUAUGGGACACUGCUGGUCAAGAGAGGUACCGUGCGAUCACCAGUGCAUAUUACAGAGGUGCAGUGGGAGCACUCCUAGUCUAUGACAUAACAAAGAGGCAAACAUUUGACAAUGUACAGAGAUGGCUUCGUGAACUUAGAGACCAUGCCGAUUCCAACAUUGUCAUUAUGAUGGCUGGUAAUAAGUCCGACUUGAAGCACCUACGAGCAGUUUCAGAGGAUGAUGCCCGGCUAUUGGCUGAGAAGGAGGGGCUUUCCUUUCUAGAGACCUCAGCAUUGGAAGCAUUCAACAUUGAGAAGGCAUUCCAGCAUAUUUUGACAGAGAUUUACCAAAUAAUAAGCAAGAAGGCACUUGCUGCUCAAGAGGCAGCAGGGACAGCAGGACCACCCAUUCAAGGAACAACUAUCAACGUUGCUGAUUCUUCAGGGAAUGUAAAGCGAGCUUGCUGUUCUACUUAGUUGAUUAAGUUCCAAAAAGGAGUGCGACAUCAAAGUGGAUCAGCCUUAAAGGCUUCAUAAGAAAUCAACCCAUGUGUAGAUUACUUUUCUACUUUUCCUUAUGCUUCAUUCUGCAGACUCUGGAAGUUAGAUUCCUCUUUUUGAGAAGAAAAUUUUCCAUUAAGAGAUUGAUGACCUGUGCAGUUUAGGUUGUUGAGUUCUUUUGUGCUUCUGUUUGUCAUGGCAUGGAAGCAUGGUAGAACAGUUGAGCACUGAAUUGAGCACUUUUGAGAAUGUGGUGCCUGUUUUAUAUUUUUGAUUUGAUUCUAACUUUUUAUAAUGAAGUUCCUUUUGCAUCACAUGAGUCUAUCAGCAGAUUAAGUCAUCAUCAAUUGGUUGGUCCAUUACCAUAGCAGCUACUCUGCUUAGCAAUUUUACAAGAGGUGUUUAUCAAGAGGUAUGUAAAAUCCUUUUAUUUUUCCCUUUUCAGUAUGCAAGAGGAAUUUAAAAUUUUAAUGAGUAAUCAAUGCUUAAUUAUUGCAAAUGCAAGAGAUGCAUGCCUAGCUUGCUGCUUGGUUGAUUUGAAAAGAAAAUACUUGGUAGAUUCUUUUUGAUUGGGUGAGGGAUUAAGGAGAACUGAGUUUAGCAACGGCAUGUGGUAGAAGAAUACAAGUUAGCUCAAGCAGUUCAAUAUUUUCACAUGGUUGAUCCACUAAUGAUCACAGGCAAUAUGCUCCCUGGGAUUUAAUGUUUGCAUGGACAGUGCUUGUGGCUUUUGACCUGGUUUGCGUCCAACUUGACAGAAGUCUUGAGGAUACUAAAUUCCGACAGUAGCAUAUGUUCAUUUUAUAGUUACUCAGGAGAUACAUCUACUAAUUUUUUUUCUUCUUGAAUGGGUAUUUUAGCUUCCAUGGGUGGCAUCCUGAACAUAGUUACAUUAAGUGGUCAUGAUCAGCUCAGACCGCCUAAUUAAAGUGGGCAACAAACCCAAAUGUUGUGUCGACCAGCAUAAGCUUGGAAAACAGCUCUUGGAGUGAUAGCUUUUGUAGAAACACUGGAUAUGAUGCUGUCUUUCGACAAACAGCACAAGUGACUUAGCAAAUCAUGGUCGUCCAGUGCAUAAGCAUCAACAUUUUUUCUAGAACUGGCCCUUUUCUGCACUAAAUAUGCCCCUUAAUUACCACAUUUUGCUUCAGGCUUUAAAAGUUGAGGGUUCUCUCUUCUGUUGCUCUCAGUCCAGAUAGUCUCAAUGUCCUUCCAAUCCACCAUGACUUCAUUUCUUCUUCCCACAAUAUGGUAUGCUGGUUCACCUGCAUGCCUUAAGAGCAGGGUAAUUUUAUUGGAUGUUGCACCACCUCACCCUAGAAGAGGCCCUAGCCAGCCAAUCAAGUGGAGCCAUGGAGGUGCUUCAUAAUCAUAGGUGAUUUUGGCGACCAAAUGACGGUCAAAGGUCGCGUCCUUUGCAUCUUUCUACCUUUUGCUUUGCUUCCAAUUUGAUAUAUGAUGCUGAUUCUUUGCUUAUUUAUUUGUAGAUUCUUGCGCUUCUUUCCACCUGUUCAUAUAGAAUGUGUAAGGAUAAUGGCUUUAUUUUCUAGUGGGAAACUGACCCUGUGGACGCAUUUAACAUUAAACUGCCUUUGCAUCUUGUUAGCUUUGGCUCUGAUUCUGAUUUUAUGCACCAUGCUGCUUUUCUGCAGAUUCCUGCACUUCUUUCCACCUGAUCAUUUAUAUUGAGUAUAAUGGUGUUCUGUGUCAUGCAAUAGGUUUGAAUUGCCAAAAUACCCAUCCUGUGGACCCUGUUUAUAGCAUUAAACUAGCUUUUUAUAUAUCUGUUAGAGCAAUCUAGCAUGGGGAGCUGCAUCUAAAAAAGGAAUAUGUACUUAUAUCAGUUGACAUGGAAUGAAAAAGUCAUACUAUAGCUCUAGAGCUGUCACCAAAUUGUGCACCGUUUAGCUAUUAACUAGUACUUGUUAUAGCUAGAGGACUUGGGUCUGUGCCAGUUGGCACACCUCUCAGUGCUUUUACUGGGAAAAAUUUGGGUUCAGAACAGAAGGUGAUAUUUCAUAGUAGUGAUCCCAAAAGAAGGAUUACUGUUAUUUAAUCCUAAACUUUUGAUUUGCUAAAUGAAAGCAAUUAGGCAUUGACUAAUCUUUUCGUGAGAAAAUAAGAUGUUCUUGAAUCUUCAACAAGAGGCCAUCUGUGGCUUAUUAGGAUUACAUGGUCCAAAUGACGAACUAUGUGUUCUAAAGUGAGGUUGAUGAUGCACUUUGAUAUCCUUGAGGAGCACCUACUGGUUUCCUGGUACAUUUUUGUUUUAAGUAAUGUAAAAUUGUAACCGAAUUAAUGAUCACUUAAACAUAACUGCAUGUUAUUUUUUGUAAAUCAGUGUGUAUUUCUGAAUGGAGAAUGUCUUAGGCAUUCAAUAUGGGGGAGUUGGACAUUUUCAUUUAAUUUGGAUGCAUUCAAUUUGUUUUGUGAGCUAAAUGGGGAUGGAGAUACCUUCAUGAUGAUCGAGCCCCUUGGAAAAAGCUGUGAUCUUGCUUCUAUUUUAAAAGGUGUAAACCUUCUGAUUGUUGGAAGCCAAAGCGGAAAUGCUCCGCUAUCCUCAAUGGUAUACUCUCUCCUCUUUGCAACCCUUUUAGAAUAAAUCUUCUUUUGUUGUUGGAAAUGGGUUGAAAGUUCUCUUUUGGAAGUACAAAUAGAUCCUGAAUCUACUUUUGAGGGCCUAAUUUCGCAACCUCUAUCAAGCUUCUAGACUCAAAUCUAGGUAUGUGGCUCAAUUCUUUAAUCGAAGAUCCAAUUCUUGGCACUUCCGGUGUGGGUCUUCUCUUUCGACUUGAGUCUACAACUGAACUGCAGCAACUGUCUAGACUUCUCUAUGAAAUUUGGUUAGAUCCAAAUCAACCUGAUGAUAUCUCAUGGUCCCUUGUUGUCUCUAGUAUAUUCACCACUCCAUCUCUGUGUAGCUUUCUUGACUCAACCGGAAUUAAAUGGGACCUUGCUUCUAUUAUCUGGAAACUCAAAGUCCUCUGAAAGUCAGAUGUUUCUUCCGGAUGGCACUCUUUGACAAACUUAAACAUCAGGGGAAACAUCUUGAAAAGAAUGGGUAAGUCCCAUGGUGGCUGACCCUAUUGCUCUGAUCCUCUAGAAACAAACAGUCAUCUCUUCCUAUGUUGCCGCUUUGCCUUUGAAAUGUGGAGCAUCCUUUGCUUGCACCUAAAUGUCCCUUGCCCAAAUGGUGAUCUAGAGGACUUAUGUACCAAAUAGGUAUCAGCUUACUUCUCAAGAGACACCCAUUCUGCAAUGCUCAUGCUAAUUGUGGCUUUUCUUUGGUGCAGCUGGAAGGAAUAUAACAAUCGAAUCUUUCUGAAUUGAAGUUUCCUAUCCUUAAUUAUUGUCUUCUUUGCUAUUAGCUUGGUUAAUAGCCAGUUAAUAUCCAUGAUCAUAAGUCCCUUCUUGGUUUUGGCAAAUUGUGGGAUUGUAUAAGGAAGCUUAGAGGAGCGGGUGUUUCCUCUUCAGAUGAGCAUAUAGAUGAUGCCUUCUUUCUGCUGCUACUGGUGUCUGGCUAUGUGACUCUCUGAAUGAGAGGAAGCCCUGCUAUUCUGCUUUUUCUUUUGUUCGGUUCCCUCUAAAGGAGACUAUGAUAGAAUCUCAAGCAAAAUGAUGAUCCCUGGAUCUUCUGUGAUGUAUGAGCUACUUUGUCAGACUUCUCUAUCUUCUUAGUUCUUUUUCCACUUCUACUCUUUACCAUGUUUGUUGCUUCAAGCUCUAGCGGCAACAGUUCUGUAACCUCAUUGGGUCUCUUCCUUCCUCUUUUCUCAUAUAAAUUCCCUUUUCAGUCAUCCUGGAUGUAUUUGAAACUUUUCUUCUUCUUUAAUAAAACUUCUAGUGACUAAUGUGGCUUAUUGCCCGUUAGUCUCCUUUAUUUUGCGCAAAAGAAAAAAAAUAUUUUGCAAGGAAAAAGGUCGCUACAUUUCACUCAAAAAAGAAGAAAAAAGAUUUUUUUGGUCAAAAAAGAGAAAAAGUUUACGACAAAGCGAUACCCCAUCGAAUCUUUUGUAAAAAAUCACUAAAGUAAAAACAAUUCAGAUUUCAGAUGUACUCUCUAUGUAAUUUGGUGUAAGCUAAAUCACAUUAUCAUUGCUAUAUGAAUUCAAGACAAUAUAAUUGCAAGGGUCCAGAAAAGUUGACCUGGAUUCUUAUGAGCUCUUUUUCUUUGGUUGGUCCCAAGUGCUCUUGUAGGUGGUGGCAUUCUUGUGGCUCACAUUAAAUGAAGAAAGUGAACCAGGGAGAGGAUCAGGAAGGACGUCGCUCUCCAAGUACUCACUCUUGAGCACUCUCUUCGCUCAGCAACAAAAAGUCUGCAUUCAAAUCUUCAAUGAUAAAUUUUCAAAAAUUUCAGACUGGAUAAUUAUGGCGUACAUGGAUAAGUCUCGUCAGAACUUCGGAUUUCACAUAUAUUCUUAUGGAUUUUAAUGCAAGUUAAAUCACUUCGUCGUUGCUCAGUAUAUAAAUUCGAAACAAUAAUCAUAAGGGUCCAGAAAAUUGUCCUGGAUACUUAAAAGAGCUCUUCUGUUCUCUUUAUUCUUUUCGAGUGCUCUUACACGUAGUGGUUCUCUUAUGCUUGCAACGACCACCAAGAAAAAGUGAACUAGCUAAAGGUGGGGUGGGUCAACAAGGGCAUCACUCUCCGAAAUCGCAGACCUUUUUGAAUAAACUAUUUGCUAAGCAAUAAAAUGUUCAGCGUUCAAAUCCUGAAUAGCAUAUUUUCAAAAAUUUAAGAUUGGAUGGUUAUAGUGCGUGUAAGUCUCUCGUCCUUCAUCUCAAAAGAAAUAUCAAAGAGGAGCGGAUUCCUCAUUUCACUUUCAUCAUAUAUUGCUGUCAGAAGUUGAAGAAUGGUUAUCUUGUUUGUAUAUUGGUUGCAAUUUGCAUGUGUGAAAAUGACUUCAAAUGAUGGGACAUGCACCGAAUAACCUAAAUAUAAUAUUAUCUACAAGAAAUUAUGUCCUACAGCAUAUAGACUGUAUAGACCGUAUAGCCGUGUACCAUGCCUAUCACAUGCCCUCGUUCCUAUGGACCUCAUUCAUCAAUGGGCCCACAGGAAUGAGAGCAUGCAAUUAUGCUCCCAAACCUAGUUGGUUUAGUAGAGAACUAAGACAAGGUAUGAUGACUGAUGCCUUCUGCUGCCACAUUAAAUCCAGCCAAGAAGGGAAAUCGCUAAAGAGUGACUCAGGCUUUCUGAAAUAUGUAUCUCAUGGUUCAUCACUCUUUAAAAUAGCUGGUGGGAAAGGUUGGAGUCUAGAAAAAGGAUAAGUCAGGGAAGCUUCUCUUUCUCCCUCUCCCUCUCUCUGUUUUUUGCUUUCUUUUUUUUAAAAUUUUUUUGGCAAUAGCAUGAUAAUGCAUUACUGUCAUGUUAUAUGUGACUUGGAUUUACCAUGUGUGAUGCAUGCAAAUGGCCUGCUCGAGGUGGGGAACAUGGGAUAAAGAUGUACCCUCAGAGUUUUAUUUUUUAUUUUUGAAAGCAUAGCUUCAGAGUUCUUAAUGAUUAUAAUAUUACGGACAAGGUGAGAAAUAAUUAUUUUCAUCUCCCACAGUACCCAUCUUUCGCAAGCACAAGAUCAUACCUCUAUAUUUUAUGUGGAUAUGGUCUGGUUAAAGCUAGCUAACUUUACCAUACAUGGCUAUAUAUAUACACCAUCCACCAUCUUAACUUGUUCCAUUCAUAUUCCCAUGGAGUACUCGGAUUCUCGUCUCUACAGCGACCGGGCAUUCUUCAAUUCGGAGAUGAAAGCAAAGGCCAUGAUUGCGAAAAAAAGGGAGAAUAUGUCGCUUGAAUGGAUGUUAUACAAAGAAGCCACAUAGCUCCUUUUACACUCGGCCUCUGCACCGGCCUCAUUCUAUUCUUAAACUCUUUCCCUCGGUAUCUUUUUAACUCUGCAUCUCUAUCUCCUUCAGCUACAGUCCUGCUUUCAUCCAUGGAACCAGGUAGGCUUGACAAGAAGGCGCGAGUACUGGAGUCAGAAGUCGACGACAAGAAAUGGGUCCAUGACUCAUCCGUUGAUCACAAGGGGAGGCGGCCUCUCAGAGCCUCAACUGGUGUUUGGAAAGCAUCCUUCUUCAUCAUAGGUAACAGCGAUCAUUCAUAAGCCCCGCAGAUGGUCGCGAGAGGAAGUGUCCUUAAUUACCACCUGAGUUUUCCUUUGAUGCUCUAUUCUAUUCCUUUGAGGUGUGUGCGGUUUCUCUCAUGCAGCGAUAGAGUUCAGCGAGAGGCUGAGCUACUUUGGGCUGGACAGCAACCUCAUCAUAUACCUGACCAAGGUGCUGCACCAGGAGGUGAAGACGGCGGCCAAGAACGUCAACUACUGGUCAGGGGUCACCACCAUGAUGCCGCUCCUCGGCGGGUUCAUCGCCGACGCCUACCUGGGGAGGUUCUCCACCGUCCUCUUCUCCUCCCUCAUCUAUCUCGCGGUGAGACUGCAACCUUUUCUGCUUCCAUUCAUCUAAGGCAGCCAGUAGUAGCGUGGUCAGGCACCAGGGAUAUAUUCCAACUUCCACGUUGCAAACAAAAGCGAAUUCGGAAACCGAUCCUCCUUUCGCAAAGAAAAGAAAGCAACCAUGAGUGGUUGUGGAUAGCCAUGAUGAGCCCCCACUAUUCCGAAAUUCUCAACCACCCCCAUGCGCUUCACGCUUACCAUGGGCUGGUUCAGGCCCGGCAUUUGCAUUGCUAAUACCAUUGGAUGCAGACCAAGACAUAUCGAAUGCAAAUAAAACUUCACAUUAGUCAAGAAGUAUCUAUUGGAAUAUAAGCAUUUAUUCUACGAUAAUCUAUCGGAAUAUGUCUUUUUUCCCAGGGCCUGAUCCUCUUGACUUUGUCGCAACUGGUCCCGAGCUUGAAACCCUGCAACCCGGAGACCUGCCACAGAUCGUUGCGACUUCAUGAGCUCGUCUUCCUUGUGGCCAUGUAUUUGAUCUCUGUAGGCACAGGGGGGCAUAAGCCAUCGCUCGAGAGCUUCGGAGCGGACCAAUUUGACGACGAUGAUGCGGAGGAGAGGAAGAAGAAGAUGUCCUACUUCAACUGGUGGAACUUUGGGCUGUGCUGUGGGCUGCUGCUGGGGGUCACUGUUGUUGUGUAUAUCCAGGAUAAGGUGAGCUGGGGUGCGGCUGACAUCUUGCUAACCUCGGUAAUGGGCGUCAGCCUGGUGAUAUUCUACCUGGGGAAGCCAUUCUAUCGGUACCAAGUACCAAGUGGUAGCCCUCUGACUCCCAUGUUACGAGUGUUGGUGGCAGCCGUGGCCAAGAGACACCUUCCACAUCCUUCGGAUGCUGGGGAACUGCACGAGGUUCCUAAGUCACAAAAGAGCGACAAGAGGCUUCUGUCCCACACUAAUCAGCUCAGGUAAGGUCCCUGAUAUAUCGAUCGCAGAUGUUUCACUAAUUAAUUAUUCUUUUAGCGCACACCAGAUUAUUUUGCCACUCUAUAUAACUUCUCAUAAGGCUUCUAGACAUUUAUGCAAAUCUAUCCAUCAUCAUUUUUCACUUGGAUUUAUGGUGGUAGUAUUAAAUUUCAGAUUUCUCGAUAAAGCUGCCAUAAUCGAGCACACAGAGGACGAGUCGGCCUUGGCAGCCGAGGAGCUAAAUCAAUGGCGACUAGCGACGGUAACUCAAGUCGAGGAGGCGAAAUUGGUCCUUUCCAUGGUCCCUAUCUGGCUUGUCUCCUUACCGUUUGGCAUGUGCGUGGCACAAGCCCCUACCUUCUUCAUCAAACAAGGAAGCAUAAUGGACCGAAGACUAGGCGGCAGCAGCUUCGAAAUCCCUCCAGCCUCUAUAUAUUCCCUCGGUGCCAUGGGCAUGAUCAUCUCCGUUUGCUUCUAUGAGAAAAUCCUCGUACCCUUCCUGAGACGAGCCACAGGGGAUGAGAGGGGCAUCAGCAUCCUUCGAAGGAUCGGAAUUGGCAUGGUGUUCUCGGUCUUGGCGAUGAUCGUUGCAGCCAUCGUGGAAAGCAAGAGGCUGAAGGCGGCCCAGGGGGAGCAAGCCAAUGCAGUCUCCAUGAGCGUCUUCUGGUUAGCCCCUCAGUUUACGAUCCUGGGCGUGGGUGAUGGGUUCGCUCUCGUGGGCUUGCAAGAAUAUUUCUACGAUCAAGUGCCUGACAACAUGAGGAGUCUGGGAAUAGCCUUCUAUUUGAGCGUGAUAGGGGCCUCCAACUUCCUCAGCAGUCUCUUGAUCACUGCUGCGGACCAUUUGACUGAGAAGGGAGGGAGGGCAGGCUGGUUUGCCAAGGACUUGAACAAGAGUCGCCUCGAUCUUUUCUAUUGGUUGCUUGCUGUAAUAGAUGCAGUAAGCCUCUGUGGCUACGUAUACUUAGCUUGCAGGUACUCUUACAAGACUGUGCAGAGAAAAAAUGGCUCCCCUAAGGCCCCAACUUCCCUGAAGAAGAUGGACGGGGAAUCUGGGAUGUCUUCAGAUGUCUCCACUGUAUAGCAUAAUUGUAGCUGGUUGGGUACGUAUAUACGGAAAGCAAAUAAAUACCAUGCAUAUUCUAUUUAUAUGAUGCAUCAUUUGUCAAAAGGAAAGGGCAACCAGAACUAUUACAUGGAUGUGCAAUAUUUUACAUUAAAAAAAAGGAAGAAGAAAAAUCCUCUACAACGUACGGAUAAUAGCAGCCAGGGCAAAGGGGAAUGGAAUGAGUUACAAUAAAGUGGUAAUGACAUUCUAAAUAAUCUUAGUUGAUUCUAUGAAGAAGAGCAAGAAAUAAUUGUUUGUCUCCUACAUGCUGGCAUGUGUUUAGUCCCACAUCGAUUUUUCACCAGAGAGAUCUUGAAUAUUUAUAUAGGACUAAAAAAUUCAAAAAAUAUCUUUAUGCUAGCCUUUUUGGGUGAGGUCCUAAGUUGUUACAUGUGGUAUCAAAGCAUAAAUUUAAGGUCAAUCUGGAUUAUAUUUGAUAUUGACAUUUUCGGAUACUACAAAUUGGUGAAUCUAUAUUAGUAUAUUUAAUUUUAUAUUUAAAGCUAUAAAUAUGCAUAUUGGCCAAAGUAAACUGACCCAGAUCGUCGGAUGCUGCUACCUAGUCAAUCCUAUCUUUCCUUCACUUUGACUUUUAUUGGUUACCAUUGAACCCAUAAUUGAUAAUCCCUGAUCUAUUACCUUUAUCUUGAUUGGAUAUAUUUUUUUUGAUCAGAUGAAUUGAGUUGCAUUGUGCUAACUCGAAUAAUUGGGCAUUGUCAUCUAGCUGGCCUCGUACUUCAUUUUAUACAAAUCUAUUUUCAUACUUAGCCCUAAUUUUGUAUGGGGCCUCGUACUUCAUUCUAUACGAAUCUAUUUUCAUACUUAGCCCUAAUUUUGUAUGGGUCAAUGAUCUCCAUCUGUUGAUCAUGAGGGAAGGACUACUUUUAGAGCCUCCACUGGAAUUUGGAAAGCAUCCCUAGAAUGAGCCUUGAGAAUGAUUAGAAAUCCCAGUUUUCUUCCUAUUUUAUUCAUAAGUUAGAUCAUAAUAUAUUACUGGCUAAUUAGGGAAAACAUAACAACUACCUGAUUAAACUAAUAUAAUAUAUAUAUACAUAUAUGAUUAUGUUGGUGCAUCUUUUAUUUAGUGCUAAUUGAUAUAGAAGCCUGGCUCCGACUUUCUUAUGUUUGACAUUAAUACAAAAAAAGACAAAUGCAUUAAAAAAAACAAAAAAAGAGAAACGCAAAAGUUUCAUGAUCUUCUCCUUUAUUACUUGUGAUAAUUAGUCUUUCAUGCACACAAAAUCAUCACAACAACCUAUUAAUCUCUAAUCAUCAUCAAUGGAGAUAUAAAAUCAUGCUUCCAUGAAACUUUAUUGGCCUCCAACUCCCACAAACUUAGGAAUGACUCGGCCAAACUCUACAACAAUUUGGUCCAACUUGGCAAUGACUCGGGCUAACUUGGUUGAGUUUAGAACUUGGAUAAACAAAAAAAUUAGAUUCAUGACUCCGCCAACUUUUUUAUCUCAUUGAUUCAACUAAAUCGGAAUCAGCAAAACUCGGCCAAGUCUUGCUCUUAUUUUUAAUACUAAUUGAGUCAUCUUGACUUUUUUGGCUCAAUAAGGUUUUUGACUCCACUAGGCCAAGUCAUGAGUUUGACUCAUCAAUUUUCCCUAGCUUGUAAGUUUGACCUCAUUCAGAGAUCCAUGGAAAAUAUCUUUAAUUAGAAUAGAGAAAACAGGAUCAAGUCUACCAUCCAUCUUAUGAACAGUUCAUGAAACCCAUAGCGAUGAAGGACCAUAGAUAGAUAUAUAGGGUUAUUUGAUGAUUGUAAGGCCAUUCCAUAUCAGCUUUAAUAACCAUGAGGGUUUUUUUUGAAGCAUUUACAGCUGAAUGCAUAAAUUUCUGUGCCCCCGGAGAAUUGUCAGAGAUUUUCCCAUCUUGAAUGAAUGUUCCUUGCUCUUCAGAAACCAGUUUAGGCAACAAAUCCUUCAUUCAAACCAGCAACAUGUUGGCCACAAUUUCAUAUACUUAAUUACAUAAGCUGAUUGGUCUGUAAUCCUUGCAUUGUCCUGAGUGAUUCUUUUUUGAAAUUAAGGUGACAAAAGUUGCUUUCGAGGCACUGAGCAUAUUCCUAGUUGAGAAGAACUCCUUCACAUCCUCCACUACAUUAUUUUUGGUCAGGGACCAAACGAAUUUGAAGAACCUUGGCUAGAGUCCACCUGACUCAGAUGCCCUAUCAUUAUCCAUACUACACGCCACCAAUUCUAUUCCCCCGCUAUGACUUUCAUCAUAAUAACUCAAUUAAGCAUCAGAUACUUCUUCUGGAAUUGAAGGGAACUCAGAAUUGCAAUGUCUAAGGUCCAAAUUCCAUUUCUCAAUCACAUUCCCAUCAGAUCGAACUAUGCAGGCAAUUCUAUUCUUCAUCAUCAUCAUCAUCAAGAUGUUUUCUUGUUCAAGUGUGGGAGUUAUUUUUAAUUUUUAUCAAAAGAAAUAGUUGAAAUAAAUGGGAAGAAAUGGAAAGGCCAAGAUAGAAAAGAGUGAAUUAAUUCUAGAUUUUUGUCUCCGUAAUAAUUCUUGUGGGUGCAAGACCUUGUUAUAUGGUAAAAAUAAUAGUAACUUUGAGAACUACGGAGAUUGCUGAUCCCAGGAUCCUGCAGCCAUUGCUUUUGCCAAGGCUAUCAUGUGAAAUAAGGGCCAUAAUUUGUACUAACUUGUCACAAUACAACAGCGGAAAAAGUGUUGGGCUUGAGGCACAUCACACCCAUUUGAUAGAUUGAUGUAUAGGGUUUGAUUCGAGAUGUGCACGAAAUAUGGUUUCCCAUGUUCUGGUCACGUGCAUCAUGCAUGAUACAAGGCUCCACGCUGCAUUGGAUCAUCAAAUCGUUCAUGUUGGACCCAACCUACUUCCAUGGGCUAGUGUUUGACUGGCCUGGCUGAGUACCAUACUCUUAGCCCAAGCCGGUCUGAGCUAGAUUUAUUCCCACCUUUGUGUAAUUACCCAAGGAAGCCGGCAACCCCCAUUUCUUGCCUACCAAUUAUAAGUAUUUAAAGCAUGGUUCGCUAUACCAGUCCGAACGAAGCAGUAUGAGAUGUAUCAUACUGUACAAGUACUUGGUAUAGAUGGUGUACCAGACAUUCGGUAAGCUGAAAAGGCUCCAUAUCGCACCGACAUGGUAAUAACAUGGUACCAGUACCGAAUCGGCAAACCUUGAUUUGAAACUCAAUAUUGUGGAUCAAUAGCACUUAAGCCCAAAAUCAUAAGCCCUCUCAUUUUGGAACCAAGAGGCUUUGACCACCGAGGUAUAUGUUUUAAUGGUAUUUUCAAGACUAAAACACUAGCAACAAAAAAUCCAUUAUAUCAACCAAUAAUAGAUUUUAUCCUUGUUCACAAAACUUUUUUUUUCNGUAGGUAUAUAGGUUUCAAUUAAAAUCAUCUUUUUAAGGUAUGCAAAAUGUCAAAUACUAACUUCUAUUUUAAUUAUGUAAAAGUUAUUAUAAGGUAAUAGAUAUACAUGACAUAAUAGGAUUCGAAAUCCAGGGGCAAUAGUAGCUGAUUCCUCAUUGUCAUGUAGUCUGAAAAAUGAAAAUGAAAUACAGAUAAAAAGAGGGCAUUGUUAACCAAGUGUCAAAAUAAAGUGUGAAAAAAGAAGAUAAUAGAAGGAAUCUAAAGUAAAAAAGUUUCAUUAUUAGUUUUCCUUUAUACAUUAUAUAAAUAAAAUUUCUGCUAUGGAAAUGAUGUUUGGACUAGCCAAAGAUUCAUCAGGAUUCAAGUCAAAUUUCAAAAAAAAUCCACAAUCCAUUAGCAUAUUAUAUGUAUACUCAAGUUUGUCCGAAAUUAUAAAGAAGAAUCCGUCCUACAUCCUGUAAAGCUGACACCCGGACACCCAGGAGACGCACAGCAACCAAAUGAGCCGCUGCUUUGAUAUUCGUGCAUGUACUGGAACUCGGCCGGCCGUCGUCCUCCAUCUCAAGCAAAAGAUCCGCAGGCGUUGGAGAGUUGCUAUUCUUUUACACCAACAAAGCAAUCAAACCCCAAUUAAAAGACUAAAAAAACAAGUGUAAACCUAAAACGAAGGCAUCUCCAUCUACGGUAUUCUUCCUGUCUCUCUUGAAAGCAAGCAAAGCCAGGCUUCUGAUGAGCUCCGGACGUAAAGGGGCAAAAGGCGACGUCACCGGACUCCCUUUUCCACAGUGGACAAAGGCUAGAUCUAAUUAUUCCUCAGUAAAACCCAGUGCCGAUUUCCUGUAUUGGAUCUCGACACGUGGAUAAUGAUGCCUUAUGACAAUUUAAUAGACCUCUCUGUAAUAUGAACGAGCCGUCUCCGUUCCCCAAAUCUGGCCGUAAUCAUCACAAUCUGUAGACGUACACGCAACGAUGGAACAUGUCCAUCUCUUUAUUCCCUACCGUUGGUCUAUUUCCAUCUGAUGCAUGUUAAAUAGUAAAAAAAAUUUGAUGUGGGUCCCGGCGUAGCUACGGUCUGAUGUAACGUUUCGUUCGUACCAGGUCCCACCAGCACAAUCAGUAAAGGUACCCGGCUGGCCACCUUAAUUAUUAAGCAGCCAAAGGCUGUGAUCCUCCAACGGUGCAAGUAACGUGUGCGAAUCGCUGUAUCGGUGUUCUACUGCACCAGCGUUUCAGGCGUCAGCGUCAUUGCCUUCCAAUAGCAGGUCCAUGACCGUAAGGAUUUCUAACCGCCUUUCUUUUAGAAUAAAAAAUAUAUUUUAUAUUUAAUUAUUUAUUUUAAAAAUAAAAAUAGUUUUUUAUAUAAAAAAUAUAUAGCAAAGAAAAAUUAUGAAAAACAUUUAUUUUCAUUGGUUGGAAAUUAUAGAAUUUUUUUGAAAAAUAUUUUUAAACUUUUAAAUGGGAUAGAAUUUCUUUCUUUUUUUAUUAAAAGCUUAACAAAUAUUUUAUAGUAUGCCGCUUUAGCUUCUCAAAAAAAAUGUUUUGAUAACUUUUUUUUAUAAAUUAAAUAUUUUUUAUUAAAUUAACAGGAAAAUGCCUGAGUGUGAAAUUAGAGAAGCAAAGAGAAUGGUGCACGGCACUUACGACUUUUUUUCAAGUAAUUUUUCUGAGUUACCGUUGCAUUACUCGGCUCUUUGUAGCAUCAUUUAUAAUUAAACAAUAUCUUAACUAACUAGGAGCAGAAACCAUGAAAUGCACUGUAACUGAGAGAAUCUAGCAACCGGCACAAGUUAGCCACCGCCAGGACUGUUCCUUCCAAAAAAAACAAUGCUCCACCCCAACCCCUUUUCUCCGUCCAUCAACUUUCUCCACUUUAAAUUCUUAUCAUAACCUGAUUCCCCCAAUCCCCAUACCCCUAUCGCUUUCACUGCUCGCGCUUCCCCCUCACUUUCUUGCCCCCUUUGCAGAAAGGAAGAGCGAAAGAAAAAGAAGCGGAAGUGACGGACAGCCCUUCUCUCCACCUUCACUCUCUCCAGCGUUUUAAAGCAGAGAAAGAGGAGUGGAAGAAUACGACCCAAAGCGAAGAAACAACAAGAUGUCGUCGGCGGCGGAGGGCUACGGCGGCGGUGACGGAGAAGCGGAGCAGCUGCUCUACCACUACCACCAUCAGACGUACCACGUGCCUCAAUACAGCCGGCGAGAGAAGCUCCGGUUCCCACCGGAGGAAUCCCCGCCGCCUACCUCCUUCUUCUUCCACCACGAUCCCAACUCUCUCACCACCUUCCUCCCAUCCUCCUCCUCCUCCUCCUCCUUGUCCUAUUACUCUCCAAACCCUAGCGAUACUUUCUCUCCAACCACCCAAUUUUCGGGCCAUCAGGGCUUCUCCUUGUCCCUUGCCUCCUCCCCUUCUUCUUCCAAGCCUCCUCCGCCUUCUUUGCCCCACCUCCAGUUCACGGCCGGGCCCGCGCCGAGGCCGGCGGGGCCCUUCACUGGCUACGCCGCCGUCCUGAACCGGUCCCGGUUCCUCGAGCCCGCCCGGCAACUUCUAGAGGAGAUUUGCGACGCAGGACGUCGACAAGGACUAAGUGGUGGUGGCGGGGGAAUGCUCCUCGAUGCCGAUCCGCCGGAGCUUUCGUCGUUGGAUCAUCAUAAGAUGGAGGGGUUGGCUGGAGGAGAGGUAGAGGGCCGGAUCUCGGGGACCGAGCAGCAGUGGAAGAAAACGAGACUCGUGUCCAUGCUUGACGAGGUGGGAGUCUAGCUCUUGAAACAACUUCGCCUGCUUUCUUGGAUUUUUGUUCUUUUAUUUUUCUGUUCUCUAUUCAUAUGAAAGGACUUGCUUUGUCUCAGUUCUCUCAUCCAUUUAUGCCAUCUUCUCGAGGCGUUGCAUAUAUUCAUAAACAAUGGCUGUGUUCUUUCAUGUCAGAAGAUUUUGGUUGCAACUCGUGGAAUCUUGUUACUGUUAAGAGAUCAUGGUCAUGUCGUGAACUUAUGGCAUGGUUAUAGCUAUCAUUACUUGAUAUAAUCUUUGCUUGCUUAUUUUGAAGAUGGAAGAUUUUUAUCUUUUAUGGUGUCGGUGAUGCUACUGCUCAGCCCAAGCAUAGUUCUUUCAGAUCAAUGAAGUAUUUCUUAUCUGUGACUGUUUGUCUUACUCCUGUUCUCCUACUUUUGAUUUGUUUAAGCUAGGGCUGAUUUGAUAUUCCUGAAAUCAGGCCAUGAUUUUGCGAGAACCUGUAAAUGCUGGUCAGUAGCUUUAGGUUAUUUUUCUUGAAAAAGAAUGCUCUUGUUAAUUAGCUAGCAUUAGUCGUGAUAAUCUUUUUCUUUGUUAGAUUAGUGGUGGUAAUCUUUACCAGGAGCUUGAUAUUAUGAUAUUCCCAUAUGAUUAGAAGGAAUAUGUCCAGCUUGUUUUGUAAGAGAAAACAAAUUGAGAUGAACGUGUUUGCUACUCAUUAUGGAAUGAGUAUCAUGUCAUGGGCGAAAUUUCAGCGACAGUUUUUAUAUCGUCAAAAAAACUCCACUCAUAAUUGUGCCACAUCUGGAAAAUUCGGGUUGAAUUUGUGAUGUGAAGUGUCUAAAAAAGUUGAGAGAAGUGCAUUUAAUUUACUCAAUUUUUUCACAGGCUUAAAUGUUGCUUCAUGAGGUAGACUUUGACAUAUAUAUUGCAGUUACCAAAGUGUUUUCUGCGACUCAUUUAUUUCUGAGAUGAUUCUACCUUUUUAAUGCUCUACUCAUCAAUGAAUUGCGUUCGGCAAUUAUCAUUAAUUGAGUUAGUUUGUUCAUAUAAUUAGCUUUGCUCUUUUAAUAUGAAGAAUGACAUAGUAUUUGACCUCGCGAGCUGCGGGAAUUCUUCAUGCACCUGUGCAGAAGCUUAUUCUUUUGCGUUUGAUGACCUUUGAAUUGCUUAGCAAGCAUUCCAAAUUUCAUAAGCUUCUCAUGUUUAUGUUACAACUGUAUGACCUUUAACUUGUGGUGUGGGUAUCAUCAUGGUAUUUAACAUUUUCGCUAACAUAAACGGUAGACUGACUGUAUGGCUGAUCUGCAUUGGAAGGGCAAACUUCAAGGAUUUUGUGAUAUGCUUUUCAUCUGUUAUCAUGAAAACAUCUAGAAACUUGGCGGUUCUUCAUACUGUCAGCUGCGGAACGCAGUCUCAAGUAAAUUUGAUAGCAACUCACCCAGAUUUCUUGCAGAAUAUUUGCUUGAUGCAAUUUUAAGCUAUAGAGCAGUCUGCCAUAAAAUCAAUAACCCUAUUUUGCAGCUAAGGGUACUUCCAUUAUUCUUUGUAGUCGAAGAUCAUGCAACUGAGAGAUGAAAGAUCUGAACUUAUCUAUAAUUUGAAAAGUCUACAAUAAGGUAGAAAGAUAACAAAAAAUUGAUAAAUCUAUGUCUCCAGGGAACAAUUGUAAGCCAAAAUGUUUUAUUGAAAUGCAAUCUGCUGCAUAUCCUUAGUGGAUCUUAAAUGAUUUCUUUAAAUUUGUUCAUUUCUUUGGUCCUUCCCAGGUUAUCUAUUUUCUGGAAAUAAUCAUCAUGUGGGUUCUUUUUUCCUUGUUGAGUUAACUAGACUUGCAUUCAGAAUUAUAUUAAUUCUUUAUUAAAUUGCAGCUCUAUUGGAUUUGAUUACAACUCAAGAAGCAGUUUACUGUAUUAAAAUAGUUCAUGCAAGCUAUUUUGUGGUCCUACUGUCAUUUCUUUGUUUCCUUUUGUAAUUUACCCCAUUGAUUCUAUUGUAGGUCUAUAGAAAAUACAAGCAAUAUUAUCAACAGGUGCAAGCUGUCAUCACAUCAUUUGAAUCUGUGGCGGGCUUGAGGAUUGCAGCUCCGUAUGCCUCCAUGGCCCUCAGAACCAUGUUGAAGCACUUCAGGUGCCUCAAAAAAAAAAUAUCUAAUCAACUAAGUUACGCAAACAAGGUUCUUAGGUCGACAGAAGGCCUCAGUAGAGAAGAGAGCUCAAGCUUUGGCCUCAUUAGUUGUGGUGUUGGUCUCCAAAGAGCACCAAACGACUCUGGCACUUUUGGUCAGGCAAAUAUUUGGCGGCCUCAACGAGGACUUCCUGAACGUGCGGUGUCCGUCCUUCGUGCAUGGCUAUUUGAACACUUCUUGCACCCGUAAGUUUCUAAACUCCUGGAACUGGUUCUGAAAUAUAGCUGAGAGCAACACCUUAGAGGUGGGCUUCUUCCUUCUUCGUUGGUUUAUGGUUUGAAAUUUUUUUGCUCGUCAUGGUUGAAUAUAUUUAUGAUAUCAACAUUUGGAGAGGACACAUUCUUCUUGCGUCAACAUUUUUAUUGAGAUACAGUCCGAUGGAGGAUUUUUUCACUUAUUAUGUGCUAUAGAUGCGAUCAUGUGAAUAUAGUAUAGUAUCUUUUGAGUAUGACAAUAUGAUAAGGCAUUGUUUAGUAGAUAUUGCGAAAAAUCAGUGGGAGUAUCUAUGUUUUGGGUUGUUUUAUAUUAUCAAUAAAAAGAAAAAACAUAUUGGCUUAUUUGCUUUGCUGAUGUAACCAUGCUCGCCUUCCAUAUUUUUUCUCCAAAAAUCCAGUGCCUUGCUUCUGAACCACAAGGCAAUAAAAUGAGCGGCAAAUAAAUGGUUAGAUUUAUUUUGCUCAAAACUUUCGUUCUGUGCUUGUCUUUUCGAGAUAUAAGCAUGCAUCCAUUGAUAUGUUCCAUUACUGUUUUCUAGGUAUCCGACCGACACCGACAAGCAAAUGUUGGCUAAACAAACAGGUCUAACAAGAAACCAGGUACGUAAAAUCUACGUACAUGCUAAAUUUACUUCAUUGUGAAUCGAUGUUGUUCAAAUACUCGAGCAUGGCUCUUCUUGUCUGAUUGAAUGAGGACUUUUUGUUGGAGAAAGUGCCACUGGCAGUAUGGCUGUUGCAUAUUACCCUAUAAUCACGAUAUGACUAAAAAGUAGGACCCGAUUGACUCCUACGAGGGGAAAAAACCGACAUUUUUAAUAGCACCAAACUUUUCUCUCCUCUUACAUGGAUGAUAUGCCCCCUUUUUUUGCCUGAUAUACCCCAAUUUGCCUUGAAUGGACUGCCUUUACGCUUGUUCAUCCUUACAGUUUUACAAUAUCUUGUACCAAUCACAUAUUUGAUUCAAACAGGUCUCAAACUGGUUUAUCAAUGCAAGAGUAAGACUUUGGAAGCCAAUGAUCGAAGAAAUACACACUCUCGACAUGCGACAACUGCAUAGAGCCCCAGCAGCUGAUAGAAACCGUAAAACCGAAGAGCAAACUCAGGUUCCAUCAGCAUCUGUUGCACCUCCGUCCAGUUCUCAACCUCUCUAUGCCAGCAGCAGCCAAAAGAAUCAAAAUCCAUCCACGGAACUCUUUCAAGAUGACCUCACCCACAUAUCCAGCCACAUCCGAGAAUCCUGGAACUUUGUCUAUGAUGAUUUAUCCGGCCAUCAGCACGGAAUGGAUGUCGCUGGUGGUGCGAAGGGUGAUGUUUCUCUCACUCUGGGCCUCCACCAAAACAAUGGUGUUUGCUUAGCAGAGCCGCUUCCUAUGAAUGUCGUUCGCCGUUUUGGCCUUGAAGACUACAGUGAUCCUUAUGUCAUGGGUGCAUUUGAGGGACAAGAUCGACACUUCGGAAAGGAUACCUGGCGGGCACUUCCUUCAUGAUUUGUCGGAUGAAGUGCUCACGAAGUUUACAAAAACUGAAGCAGCUGAUGAUGAGCUAUCAUGUUAACAUCAAUGUACCCAACAUCUCAUCCGGACUCUGUGUGACAUGAAUUUCCAAUCAGAAAUUUGGAAGGUGGUUCUUCAUGAAGUGUCGAGGUAUGUAGAUCUAUUUGUUUUUCCCUACGUGUUAUAUAUAUUCUUCUAUAGACACUCGCCAACUUUAUUUUUAUGUACAGAACGACAGUGCAAGUUGGCCAAGUUGCCGUUUGAGAUGGCUGGGAAUAGUUGCUGAUUGGAAUACAGAAAACAAUGAUGGUCUACCUUGAUUGUAGAGCAUGAGCUGUGUACAUUAAUUGACCUGCAAGCUUAGGCUGCAAGUAAAUCAUUUUAACAAAUGCUUGUGUUUAGCUGGCUAGAAUUAUGGAUUGGAACGUAGGAGCCCAUUUGCCCCAUCUAGGGGAUGCAGGCUCGGCUGUGAAAUGGAGUUUCGUGCUUGUGUCCAGCCAAGACGGAUCUCGGAUGGAUUAUAGGAGCUAAGUUGUAGUCUUCACUGAAACCCAUGUCAAACGGAUCUAUCGUUGAUAUUGGUGUCUCUUUUAAUUUAGUUCUUCCGAGCAGUCGGAAUUUAAUACUCCGUGGGGCGAGCAUUUAAAGUCCUUUAAUCGCUAAGUUGUAUGGAAAAAAAUCCAUUACUCUAAGCCCUGUUUGAUAUUAUUAAUCUGCGGCAGGGCUGCGUCGACGUCAGUGUUAUUUAAUGGGGAUAAUGGGGCAAAUUGGUGUGGGAGAAGGUAGAUGCAGCGGAUCCUGGCUUCUGAGUUGCGCCAAGAGCAAAUAUUUUGGACAAUUUCGUGGCCAACGUGUAGCCGUCUCGGAAAUGACAUGCUCCGUGAGGAACGGGUGCCUUUCUUGGAAAUGACAGCACUGUUCGUGAUGUAACUAAGGAAUGGGACUCAUAGAUGUAGUUCUUUUUUUUUUUUUUUUCAAUCCUCUCUCAUUGUNNNNNNNNNNNNNNNNNNNNAAUCCUCUCUCAUUGUGCCCCAUGGCUUUUUCCGGACGCUGUCAGCGCUUCCACCGCGGCCUAUAUUUAUCUGGCACUUUUAGUCCUCGUUACAGUUAGGCGACAGAGUGCAGCCACCAAGAUUUAGAAUAAGAACUGCUAUAAUAUGGUUAUAAUAAUAAUUGGAAAAAGAAAAGGAUAAUGAGCGUUAUAACUAGUUUGUACUUUGUAAAUGGACGUAUUUAGAAAAUGAGAAUUUCACUCGUAUCCAACGGGGUAUCCGCGCUCGGGGCAGAUGGAGGAGUCCAUCUGUAUCUAAAUUCGCCACUGGCUUCUCUCACUCGUGGCAAGACUUUUGAUCGUAAGCAGAAGCAGGGCUGGUAGUCUGCCACAGUUAAUCCAAUGUAGAAGUAUGUGUUUUGAGAUUGGUGGAGAGGUUUUUCAAGUGUGGAAUUAGAUGUACAGUCGUUACCUUCUGCUUUAGUUAUACUGCGAAUUAACGUUAUAGACCAUGUUAUGCUUGCUUGGUACGACAUGCUCUCAUUUUUUUUAAAAUACUUUUUUUUUGUAUUUGAUCAUGGUUUAGAUUGAUCAAAAAGUAGCUAGAUUCUUUUUCAUGCCGAGAAUUUUAAAUUUGUUGAGUGAUUUAUAGGAAUGAAAUUAUAAAAAGAAAUGAAGGAUGCGAUUUAUGUAAUUUGGUCAAGAACGAUGUUGAUACAAUGUGGUAAAAGAAUGAAUCAAAUGACAAGAGAGGGUUAGAAUCAUAAGUCAUUUCUGCUCGCUUUCUUUACAAUAAAAAAAUAUUCAUUAUCAACUUCACUGAUCAUCCGAGCUUGACGACAGCAAAUAAGUUGAACCAUCAAUUUAUGGUUUCCUUGGUGUUUUUGCUAAAAUAGAUUAGACCUUCAUUAUGAGUCUCUUGAUAUUUAUGUGAGUGUAUGUUGAAUCUUCGACGAAAUUAAAAUUGCAUUUAUUGGUGGUUGGAAGACCUCACCGUCAAGAGAUUUUGGAUUCCAAAAAUUUUAGGAAGGGAUCAUCAAACCAUGUACUUCAUAGAAUUGCAGUACGAAAGAAAAUCACAUAGAUAGUGGCAUUGAAUGAAAAGAAGCUCUUUAGAUAUGUAUUAUUAUACGCCAUAUUUUGGAUUGUGCCAAUUGAACAUGGUCGAGACUAACUUGAUAUAAGGAAAAAAAAAGGAAAAACGAGAAAACUUAUUAGACAUCACUCAAACAGCUAUUCGAUUUGCCGCAUGAAACAAUACUCUAAUCGGUGAGUCAAGUAGAUCAUUUAUCAUAAAUCAGUAAAGUUUUUUAAUACAUAAUACAAGCUUUUUAUGGUGACAAGUUAUUUGUGAAAAGAGAGUGUUUGUUAUACAAUCAUAUACAACAGCAAUAUUUGUGAGGCCCAACUCUUGGCAGACCAAGUCCAUAAAUGGUCUAUUUUUGAGACGACCCAAGCCCCUAGAGGAAGAGAAAAAGAAAAAGAACUCAGUUGAGUGCAUACCUAGCUAGAAUGUGCCUAGCUAGAGGAAGACUCCUAAUGGGAGACUUCUUCCCUGAUUGACUCUUAAUUAGACUCAAAAUCUUAGAGGCAGUCGAACGCUAGGAAAAACCUAGCUCCCACCUCUAUUUAACGGCCUCACUCCCUCCUUCAAGUCUCACCAUCGAAUCACUACUAGCCAUAAUAGAUUUCAUGGUGGAAAUCCCUCGAUUUCAUCGGCGAUCUUCUUGCCAACCCGAUCACAAAAGCUUGAUGAAGAUGAGGUAAGUGCCCCUACUCUUCUUUCAUCCACCAUCUAUAAGGUUUCCGGCAAACAAUCACUGAAAUUAAGCUGAGCACUAGACCCUUAUUUUUUGCCACACUUUAGAUCCUAUUUUCUUAGUUUUUCACACCGAUUGCUUGCGGCCUUUGGUCUUCACCACCAUCCAAGCCUAGGUUUCUCCUUCUUUUUCUGAUUCUUAGCCAAAUCAUUUGACUCUAUUCAGUCCUUUUUCUUAGACCGAUUCCAUGCUUGUUUUACGCUAGUCGUUGCCACCGUCACCAUGCAACAUUCACCAGAAGCCAAACUUUGACUAAUAGCUCACCGCCACCACUAUCGAGCCACUGCACCUCUUCCUCUAAUUUUUUUAAGGGCACAUUUUUUUUCUUCUUUUCUCUCCCCUCUCUUCUUUCUAUUUCUCUCUCUAUAGGAAUCUACGGACCCUACUAAAGAGUCCUAACCUCCUCUGUGGACCUCUGGUCAACCCUCAAUGAAGAGGUUCUGAACAGUCCUAAUGGUGCCCUUGCCAGCCACCACUAGACUCCAUCAACAAUCUCUAUUUGAGCUAUCUCUACCCUAGUAUGACUCUUGGUUUAUAGUUUGACCGGUUAGAUUGCCUAAAUUCGACAGCCCAGGCUGUCAAACUCCAAAAUCAACAUUAUGAAUAGCACAGAGUCUCCCAAAAUUUGCCGGCGAAGAAGGUUUUGCUGCACUCGGCAAUUCUAAACUAUAACAUUCAUAAAGAAGAAAUAACAACAAAUUCCUCGGCAAUUCCUUCAACCACUUGAGUGCCUGCCUCAAAAGAUUGCCCCUCGUCAAUCUUUGCUGCCUCAGAAGAAGGAUGGGAAGAUAUCUCCGGGCCUUAUAAAGCAUCUUCCUUCUCGUUGGUGUGAACUUGAACUCCCGAUCAUCCUUCGUAUGAACUUUGUUUUAGCUUUGCCAAGGACCGUCUCCUGCAGCUUCGAAUAAGAGACUAUAACCAGGAGAGGCCCAAUGUAUUUGGGGGCCUAAGGUUGUUUUGUCUUUGAGGCAUUUCUGCAGUGGGCCAAUCUAAAGCUAACUCACACAGGAACCUUUUUCCUUUUCAUUUUGUCUUUGAGCCCUUUUCUGCGGUGGGCCUUCUUUGGGCCGGGGCCUUAGACGACCACCUCAAUUGCCUAAGAGUGGGCCGGCUCUGUCUAUGAUGCUUGCCCAUGGUUGGAGGCUGGGAUCCAUUCGGAGAUGCGCCUGAACGAGGAAGAUGGAGACAUCACACUCCUCUCUGAGGAUGAGCUAGCGACUCUUGCUGACAUGUGCAUCCCUAAUUUUUGCCUGCCGUUUUGCUCCAGAAGUGAUUAUUGGUUAGACUAGAUUCACUAUUUACCUGAUGCACCAAUCCAACCAUGGAGCAACACACAUGCAUUUCGUACAUGUUGCUCCAGUAGAUUUGGUUCAACAAAAAACAAAAUUAUACCGGUGCCAUUUAAUUUUGACUUUUCCCAUACUAGUCCUCCUCCGUUUGUUCCAAGUUUCCUACUUCAUUAAGUCUCCAUAGUUUCUAUGGAUGAAUCACAAUCUUGGUAAACUUCUGGUUGCUUUCCAAGUUUAUGACCCAACCAUGUUAAAUCGGGACUAUUGUUCCAAAAGUGUUUGAAACCCAUCCACCAUCCAUGGUAACUGGCCCACCGGUCAACCUGCCCCACUCCCAUAUUUCCGACUCCCACAGUUCACCCUGGGCCCGAGACCCCGAGUGCUCGCUGACGGUCACAUCAAAAGACCAACAGUCCCGUCCACGAAUCGUAAUCUUCCACGUCAUGCGGCUCAGAAAAGAGACUGCCCCCGAGAUGGAACACCGCAUCUUCCGGUCUUCAGGGAUACUCUUCAUCCUGACCGUGCAAUCCGGGGAGCGUGAUCACGAUAGGCAACACACCCAAACAAAAACGCUAACUGAAAAGGAAAAUAAUAAUUAUAAUAAUUGGGAAGGGAAGGGAAGAGUCCCACUCGGACGCUGCAUCCUUUCCAGCUUCGAAUUCCUCGCCCAAAAACCUAUAUAUGAAGCAAACGAAGACGACGACGCCAGACGCGCCGGACACCUUUCUAGGGUUUCUCUAGGAUUUCCACUUCCAUUUCGGCGAUUCCAGGGGGCGAGUCCAAUCCAAAUCUGGAGCCGCUCCGCCUCGUUUCUAGGGUUUCCGAGGUCACAGCGGGAGGAGGACGAGAUCGCAGAUGCAGACGGACGCGCGGAUGAGGGCGGUGGUGGAAGGCGGAGGGCAGAGGGCCCUCGCCGCCGCCCACGGAGUCGCCGUGGAGGGCGGGAUCCGGCGGUACUCGGCCUCGCACCCCAACCAGCAGAGUGGGCAGCAGGCCCCUCAGCUUCAGCCGCAGAUGGCGCCGGUGGCGAACCUCCUGGCCGGAGGCGUCGCCGGAGCGUUCAGCAAGACCUGCACGGCCCCACUUUCUCGUCUCACUAUUCUAUUUCAGGUCGGUCCCUCUCUUGCCCUCUCUUUCCACUUGUUGGAAGGAGCGUCUUUGAACCAUGUGAAACUGCUCUUAUUUUUCGGUGGAAUUUGAAUUCUUACAAAUUCUUGAAGGCGGCGGUUCUUUUCUUUUCGGUGAAAUUUGAAUUCCUACAAAUUCUUGAAAGCGGUGGUUCCAUGUUUAUUUUCCGUGGUUUUGUUGUUCGUUUUGUACCAAGAAAAGUUUUAAAGUGCGCAAAUUUGAAGCAAGGUGGUGGAACAGGAGCGAUGAAGACCGAAAUACCCUGUUUCGGAUGAAAUUUCCGGCGAUUUGCUGGCUCAAACCUAAGCAAAAGUCUACUCAAACACUAGGAAAGGAAGGGGAAUAAGAUGAGGAACAUUUACCUCGGUCUGGCGAGGUUUUGGCAGCCCUUUCCGACAACGAAUUGUGAGGAGGAGACUCGGAGAAGAAGAGCUUGAAAUUGCGGUGAUUCUCGGCAAUUGGGGUGGAGGAAAUCAAAGGGGGUGGAGAGUUAAAUAGGCAAGAUCCUAAAGUUCGGAUCAAACUUGGAUUGCCCUCGGUGAGUCGCUGACUUCGCCGAAAUCGGAGAGGAAGAAGACUCCCAGCCGGGGUCUUCUUCCCCAACCCCCUCACAUGCCGGAUCGGGUUGGGUCUGGCCUAUUCGAGCCGGCCCACAAGUUGGGCUAGUUGGAGUCGAGCUGGCCUGGCCACUUCGAGCCGGCCCACGAUCCCAAAAUAUCUGGUUAUUGCAUUCUCCCUCUUAAAAUAAUUUGGUCCUCGAAAUUAAUGUACCUGAAGAUUCAAAAAGCUGUGAAUGUUUGACCUUCAUUUCUUCCUCAAGCUCCCAUGCAACCUCUGUUUUUGAAUGAUUAUUCCAUUGUACUUUGACAAAAGGAAUGAUUCGGUACCGUAAUACAUGAUUUUUUCUGUCCACAAUUCGGAUCGAAAGCUCCUCGUAGGUCAAAUCUUCACGUACACUCAACGGUUCAUAUUCUACCAUAAGGAAUGACUAAAUCAAAUUGAGAAGACAUGGGUAAGCACUUCUCUAAGUACGGGCCAAAAUUUGUGCAUGCAAAUUUGACCACCUGUUAUAGUUUCUUGAUGCAAAAUGUCAUGUUUUUUGAGUAAUUACCAAAGUGAAACUAUGUCUAUAGAUGAAUUUUGUACCAAUCAUUAAGUUGAGAAAGAUUUUAGUUCCUAAUUUUCGUUGUACGAUCAAUAUCAGGGAACAUUGUUUAGCUUCAUUUUGGGUAAGUAUUUAGAAUGUUUAGGACUAAUUUUGUCAAGAAAAACCAUUAUGAUUUUCUGUAAAACAAAGUAUCGAAGAACAUCUUCAUAUUUAGGCACACAGAUAGUGCAUGUCUAAGUCACAGGUCACAAUACAAUUAAGGCUUAACAAGGACAAUAAUGCAUUUUGCUUAACUAUGUGUUUCUUUUUUCCCCCCUUUUCUUGAGUGUGCUUCAACUGGGCUAGGUGGUUGGUUGCAAGUUUUAAACUUUAAAUCAUUUUUUUAAAGUCAUCCUACUAAUGUACUUGGGUGGGAUUGUGGGAAACUUUUGUGGUUUCAGAGUUUGUUACCUUCUUAGAGGCAUGACAUAAUUGAUAUCAAAUUGAAAUUGAGCACAACAAUUUAGCAUUUAUGUAUUCACCAUUCCCUGUAAGGGUCCAAGGGUGUGUAGGUAUUGUAUUGUACCAUAUUGAUGGCAGGCUUAUAUUGGUUCCAAACAAAAAAAACAAAAUAUCGCUAAAACGAUAUAUGACUCUAAGACAUGUUAAGGAACAAUUUUCCUUUUUGAGAUAUAGC
This 76560-nucleotide long non-coding RNA is filed under the name Phoenix dactylifera (date palm). RNAcentral's name for it is "long non-coding RNA (PDAC_LNC001112)". Lineage: Eukaryota; Viridiplantae; Streptophyta; Magnoliopsida; Arecales; Arecaceae. The record is from RNAcentral.